AACUAGUGCAGGGAGGCAUUUCUUAACCGGACGCCUGCUUCCUCCCUUUUGCCUCCCUCCCCGUCCCCGGCCAUUACUCCUCCCUCUCUUCCUCGCUAUAUAAAGGGAGGCCAGCCCUUCUUCUCCACCGUUCUUGCCACACCUCUUCUUCUCCCCUCUCCCUCUCCUCUCCUCUAGCCACCAAAAUGCCUGGCCCCAACCACCGCCACCGCUUCCUCCCGGUCUGCUGCCCAAGCUUCCCGGCCGCCGGCGAUCCGUCUCCGGCUGCUGCAGCCUCCACGGGGCGCCUGAGGGCGACCAGCAGCAGGAAGAAGCGGAAGCGGCUGAAGCCUCGCCCCAGCUGCGAGCGCCGCGGCGCUGCUGUUCUGUGACGGCGCUAUCCUCACCGAGCUUCUUCUACCACACCCUAUGCCCUCCGCUCUCUUCCAUAGCUGUUCGCCUCUCUUUGCUCCGGUGGGUAUUUCUCAUCCAGCUAAAAGCCAAGUCUUCUUGACCUUGCAAGACUUUUCGCUUGAAGAUGAAUUCCUACCUCGCAAUAUUCUUUCCUUCGCGCCUAUCUCUCCUCAUCUCACACCUAUCAAUCCUCCCAUCCCUCCUGUCCCCGUCUAUCCCUCUUGAGCUUGGAACACUUGCAGCUAGCUAGCCACUACUUUCGUGCGAACUCCGCUGUUCAGUGUACUGGAAAAGAAGUUAAAGUUUCUGAUGUAUCCCCGUGUCGUGCUGCCGUGCGUUGUUGCCUUUCAGCUACGUGCUUCCGCAUGAACUCUGCUAUUUGGUGUAAUAAAGUUAGUCGCCUGAUGUAUUUCCUAGUCGUGUGUUUGCCUUCCAGCUACUGUACUUUAGCAUGGACACUUUGGUAGUACUGGGUGUGUAGUGGAACUGAAGUCUCUGGUGUAUUCUAUAUUGUCAUGCAUUGCCUUGUUAUUUUUUGCAUUCCUCUCAUGCUGAUGUAGUCUUGUUGACCCAACUGGGGAGGAAGGACGAUAUAUACGGUUGGCUUGUUGACACACUGCGGCAUAUCUCAGCUGGCAUCUAGCUCCUGCUGUUAGUUCAUGUGAUCACGCUAAUAACAUGCAAAAACUCUCUUGUUCAAACGGAGCAGGAAAAUGCAGAGAGGACGACGACGACGUCACCCGCCGGCCCGCGCGCCCCGGCACUCUCUUGUGCGCCGUACGUGCCCUCGUGUGCUGCACCAUGCAUCUCAUGUACCGUGUCCCUAGACCCCAUCUACCGUACGUCGUCGCUGAUUCGGCAACGUGCGCAGUCGCUGAUUCGGCAGCACCGAUACCGAAUCGAUCCACACACCGAACCCACCACUGAGAACAACGCACGCCGGUUCCCCUCGAUCCCGUCGCGCACAACCCCUGGCCAUGCAGGCAGGACGCGCGGUUCCAAACGGCGGCGGCUUUGAGUGCGAGAAGCUCCUGCAUCGGGUGCGUAGCAGGAAGGGGCGAGAGCGAGACCCCCCCCCCCCCCCCCCCCCCCCCCCGGGGCAUGGUGUACGCGCGCGCGCGUGCGCGGGAGCCUCCCCGUGUCCCUCGCCAUGCCACGCAAUAACUUGCGCUCUGAAUGCGAUGCCCCAAGCAUGGUGGCGCCACCGCACGACGACCGACCGCCGGCCGUCGUGCCGAGCUGCACGCUCGACCGGCGUUCCGAUCGAUGCCUGCCUAGAACGAGCCAGGCACAGCGCGUGACCGGCCGCCCCCAUUAAUGCCAGCUCUGAAUGCCGCAUGGGCGUAGUGAAGCGUUCAAGGCCUGAAGCUUUGCAACUGCACCAGCACCACGAAGAGGCCGGGUCGUGUCAGCUUGCGCGCGCGUGCGUGACCGAUGGUGCAGCAGCGACGGCCCAUGCCGUCGACCAAGCUGGUGAUCGAUCCCUCGGCGCAGGCAUGGCCGUGGCGCGCCGGGCGCCGCGCUGCUCGCGGGCUCGGAAUACUGGCUGGCCCGGCAUGGCGCGGCGACGUCGGCGUGGAGCCUACACGGGAAUUGAAUGGCGCCUGUUGCCGUCGCAGCGCGCGCCAGCGGCAGAAGGGAUGAUUGAGGCGGGCGGAGCCGGGCAUUUUGCAUGCGACUGUGCACGCUUUGCUGCGAGUCUGAAACCCGGCCGGCAGCGCCAGAGCGAGACUUCACGUCAAGUCGCCAAGAGCGGCAGUCAGGCGUAAAUGCCAGAACAGUUAGCCAAGCCAGAGAGACGUUCCUAGCUACGUGACAGGACGGAUCCACUGUGCAAUCCUUUUUGCAGAUGGCAAAAACUUGUUAAACCAAAAAAAAAAGGUUGUACCGGUGCACGUAAGCAUCUGGACGAGCGAGGUGAUGAGGGGAUCAAACAAUCGAGACAGCGCCAGUAGGGACUAAUCACCAACAGUGACUCCAUUGCUGAGCAGACACUAAAGGCUGGGAAUGUUUUCGGACACAGCCAACAAAAGUGUCGCUAUCAUACACGGUUCUCAUUGCGAGGGCCGGGGCGGCAGAUCGCACCGGAUUCCAAACUACUACCGGCGCAUCUCCGGCUAGUGAAAUAACGCAGCAGCCCGACAGCGAGUGAAGAGGUAACAGGGCGUUCACCUGGCGUUUUCAUCCCCCGGUCAAAUUUGCGCGCCUGCGGUUUGCAGGGCACAGCGAUACUUUACCCUAGGAAUCGCUUUUUCGCAGUACGGCACAGCUGAACAAUCCGGACAAUCACAGAAACCAGGCAGCAAAUGGCAGCUACCAUUAUCUUGAAAGACUACUUAAACUUUGGAGUCCAGUUACAGAUGUAGUAGCAUACCAGGGCCUAAACGGAGCUUCCAAAGGGGUAAUGUAAAGAGGAAGAGGCCUAAACUGAUCAUUACGUUACGUGCUUCAACAUUCAGUAACAUUCAGUAUCAGAUUUAGCACACUAGGGCCUAAGCUGAUCUUCCAAAUUGAUGAACAGCUUCAGAAGAGGUAAUGUAAAGAGGAACAUACUGAUCAGUGCUACGCUGCUAGUCUGCUACCGAUAUAGUAACACAAAGUGAUCAUUACGUGCUUGAACAUAAGGAACAAAACUAUCAAGAUUUGAUGGAAAUGAGAACUGGUUACGAUCCGAUCGAGGCAAGAACUGUCUAAACUAAAUGAACAUUCAACCUUGAAUUCUCAUUGACAUGUGCUACUCCUACACUUUCCAGCACACACAGAAGGUUGGACCUCAGCAGGUAAAAAAGCUUUGAUUUUGAAAUCUUACCCCGGGAAAAGUACACGGUACACCCACAUUCAUGGGCAGUAUGUAAUCAUUGUCCUACCCUGAUUCCCAGCCAUUACUACAAUUCCAGCAUGUUGAAGACACAAAAGGCGGCAGUACAGGGAGGUACAGUCACAGGCACGAAAGGAUGCAAGUUCCAAUUCAGACGUUUAUACGCGAAUAAAAUGAGGUCCACACAACACAAGGCAGCAUGUGAGGUCACUGUAGCCAAUUAUUAGAACAGCAUAAGGAGGGCAUCACUAACAGUUUUGUAGCGACUGGUUGAAGGACAAAGGCAUUGACGAUUCUGAAAGCAGGAAUGCAGAAUGGAACAGUGCGACUGGCCAACGUGUUGACUAGUCCAAGGGCAUGUCUGAGGCAGUAGAUUCAGAGAGGUCCUGGAAACGUCCCGUUCUCCCUCUGCUCAUUCCAUUUCUCAACCUGGUUCAGCAAACAGUCAGCUGGUGACGAUUCCAAAGAAAGCAGACAUAACAGUUCUAAUUGAAAAAUAACAACGUAAUACAAAAAAUAAGCAAAUCGGCAAACACAAGAAAAGCAUCACAGGUUACAUUACGGGGCUGGAAGGUAGAAGGAACAAUAGGAAAAAUUAAUGUUGAAAACUAGAUCAGAGCCAAUAUGACAUGUGUUUGAAACCUUUGGAUAUUCAGUAUCCAUAUAGUAUCAUAUAAACUGGAUUUCUAACAUGGACAAAAUAUGAUUGCUUCAGUAUGGCCUCAGGGUGGAGUAAAUCUGUGGUAGCUUCUGAAAUCCAGCUAAUGUAUCUGAUGCACCAAAUGAAGGGCUGACCGCCAGUAACAGCAAUAGUAAAUCUACUGACGAAUAAUAUUAAAAAGCUUCAGUACAAGAAGGUGAAGUAAUACGCUCUUUCCUAUAGUAAUUCGGAGGUAAAGUUUAGUUUAGCUGGCACAGAUAUUUUCAUCUUCCGUCAUCAAGAAACAGCACAUGUUAUGCUAUAAUGACACUCCAUCGAGGUAUCGACAACAACUAAGUCCACUUUUAUCUUCCGACAUCCAUUGUCUACUAGAUGCAAGUAAGCAAAGUAAUCAUUCAAAACACAGAACCAUUUUUGCCUAAGACAAACAGCCACUGUUUAUCAUCAAAAACAGGGACCCUCAGAAUGUAUCGUUCAAGAGCUGCACACAUCAUGAAUUCUUGCAUGCAUCUUUACUGGCAACAAACAGAAGUGGAGGGGCUGAGAAGAUACAAAGCAAGUCAAGGUAAAUGUGUAACACCUCCUCUUGAUGUGAAUUGGACGUUAAAACAAGUCAAGGUAAAUGUGAGACCAUCUCUUCAUGAUACGCAUUUGAUAACAAAGCAAGUGAGUGUAAAUGCGCAAGUGCUACUUGUGACGUGCAAAUUCGCAUGCCCAUGCCACUAUUUGCAUGUGCAAGCAUAUCCAUGGCCAUACGUACAGCCUACUACAUGACACCUAAAGGUUACAGUCACUGGGAAGGGAGAAUAUUAUUGAAAAGCUAGCUCAAGAAGAGCCGGUUGACAACAAACCCCUGGCUGAGUCAGGACACUGAACAAAGACAAAGAUAACUAACUUAACUCAGGUUACAAGAAAAAACUAUUAGCUGAAUGAAGAUUAUUUAAAAUGUAUUACUCAAGGCAAGGGCUUCAACGUAGUUAGAUUAGAUCAAUCACAAAUGGUACGUCCACUGAAGCAUACUGAUAACUUCAUGAUUUUCGAGUCCAAAAGAAAAAGAAAAAAAAAUGGUGGUUGCAAAUUCAAUUAUCAUUUGUAUAUUACUCCCUCCGGUCCCUUUUCUAAGGCAUCACCGGAGCAAAGCCACAUACCAAGACAAAGGGUGGGAGCAUGCGCACGAGAUUAAUCAGCAUGCAUGCAAGUUAAAAGCUGAACCGUCCAUCAAUGAUAUGCAGUGGAAAAAAAAAGAAAAAGCUGGACAGACGGAUGACUAACUUGCCAUAAGCGGAUGCUUUAAUCAUCCCAUGCGUAUGCAAAAAUGCAUCAACUUCCUCCCAUCUACUUAAUCGCCUGCACCGGUAACUACGAGCGCCUAACAUACCGGCCAAAAGCAAAAAUCGUGGUAUGCCUUAGAAAGGGGCUAGAGGGUUGAGGGAGCACUUCAUUCAAAAAGAUAUGUUCCCCAGAAGCAUGGUUAACAAUGGCAGCAGUAAGGAAAAUGCACUCACCCAUUCUCCGGGGCAAAGAGACCUGUAGUACUUGGCAAAUUUGUCACAGUCGCCAGCAUCGUCCCCUUUGGCAUUCACGCACCUGAAUUCCAUGAAAGUUGGAGAAACUAGUAACAAAAAUAUGAUUGUGCACUGCCUAAAAAGUUGAAGAAGAAAAUGCUGACAAAGUAUAAAAGUUACAGUUACACAAAGUAUAUGGUUAUACCUGUGGUACUCAACAUAGCGAGUAAAACAAUGCCUUGUCUGGUUUGUUGUAGGGAAGCGGAAGUCCGCAGGUGCUGUUUUUAUCUCAAUCUGGCAUAUAUAAGCAAAUGAAUAAACUUGCGACGGACAAUAAACAACACACAAAACACUUCUACAGAGGCUGGAAUAAAAAGGAAAGAAAAAACAAAGAAGCAUAGUGAAAAGCAAAGUUGACAAGAUCGGCCUAUUUGGCUAUUUGUAUAGCUAAACUGAAAUGCCAGAAUGCCAUGAUCAUCUCCAAAAGAACAACUGGACUUUUCACAAAGCAUAGCAGCAUAGGAAAGGUAAGUUUUUCAUCAAUGUGAGGUGUGCAGGAAAGACUGUAGAUGCUAAAUGAUGAAAUGGGUAAUACAGGUAGGCGGCAGCAGUCAUGACAGAAUCAAACUAUUAUAAAUUACGGUCAGCAAUAUAACACAACAAAAAUUGUAGAGGAACAUAUUGUGGAAACCAGCAAGACAGCGACAAAAUGCAGUUUAAUAAAAAACAUACACAGAUUAGAGAAUACAUAUAGCACUACUGUAAUACUAUCUUGCUGCAACACUGCAUGGGCCAAGGAUGACUCCAGGAGUGGAAAUAUCAUUAUUUCAUUCUGACAUGUACCAAAUCUAUGACCGGGAUCGUGCAACUCUGAUGUCCGAAGUCCCGUGCAAAUUACAUUGUCUCUCCUCUACUUUUUCCUCUAUCUAAGACACGUUUUGUUCCCUUCCACUUCCACCGAUUCCUGUAAUAUACCGAGAAAAAGCGAAUGUUUUGACAUAGUUUCGGUGGUUCAAAAUCGAUACAAUCCCUCAAUGAGUAAUCGACACUCUGGGGGCAGGCACGAGUGAAGAAUUCCUCGAUGAAGCCCCGAAAUGCGUUUGCGAACCCUACCCUGAUACCCGCCGAAUCUGCAACCGCGGAUGAGGAGAUACAGCCCCGCAUUUCUGAACCGAUGAGGGAUCAGAAGCCAUCAUCAUGUUCCCGCACGAUCCUAGGAUCUCCUGCGUCGCCGCUACCUAUUCGUCCGAUCAGACUGGAUGAAUCUACCGGCGGCGACGUAACGGCGGGUACGCAGAGCUUGUUCAGGAAGGAUCAGGAGGGAAGAGAUCCGGCAGAUGGCGCGGAAGGGGCUAAGAGGAUCGCGAUCUCACCUCGGCCAUCGUGGUGCGGAGGGGGGCUGGAGACGGCGGCGGGUUCCCGGCGGCGCGCGGUGGGCGGGGAAGGUGGUGGCCACUUGGCUUCCGGACUCCGGUCGGGUCAACCUCGAUGGCUUUUGCGAGCCGGAACCGAGAGGAGGAGGGAGAAGAGAAGAUCGAGCCCACCAGGUACAGCCGAAAAUGUCGCGGCCCUUUCGGUCCAUCCAGUUAGCUGCCAACACAAGAAGCCGGGCCGUUCAGCCCACUUGGUCCAUGGGCAUGGCCCAUCAAGCAGGCUGCACGAAACCGGGCCGGUUGACGCCAAAUUCCUUGGGCCGGGCCUAUCAGGCCCGUUGUCGUUGGGAAAUCGCACGCGCAGGAAUUCUGGACUCCGACGAGUCGAUCUUGUUGAGCAUCAGCCAGCUUUCAGUGAACGCUGAUUUGUAGCAUACGCGACGACUACUAUGAGCCUGUGACGUGUGAGCGAGGCAAGUGACUGGAUCCACCCCGCGCCGGCCGCCCAUCCUGAUCGCCUCGGAGUCCAGCGGCACGAGUCCAAAAGCGGCUUUCAAGUUUCAACGAGAAGGGACGGAAGCCCUUUUGACAUUCGGCGGCGCAAAAGACAAAGGAUAAGGACGCCGUGGAAUCGCGGUGAGCGGGCACGUCUCCGCCACCGUCCAGCUGCACGGCCCUGGGCGCCCCCCGCGCUCGCCAGCCGCUGCCCAGCGGCGACGCGAAGCCACCAGUCGCCGCCACCUCCUGCUGUCCACGGCGGCGAUGCCGCGACGAAUCCAGGAGGGACGGACCCCCAACAACCACGCGCCAAGGACAAGCAAAAGGGCGACGCGUCGCCGCGUAGGGCCCACCUGUCACCCUCCCGCGCGCCCUCACGGUGACAGCCUGACCGGGAUGGGGAAGGUGGGCGCGGGCGAUUGGCACUACGUGAGCGCGGUCCACGGCAUCCGCGGCCGAUGCCGUGCCGAAUCCGCGCCCCGUGCGGUCCAGUGGACCAGGUGCCUCCUCCUCCACUCGAUCCGGGCGCUAUAAAUACACGGCCAGGCCCGUGUCCUCCGUUCUCAUCUUCAGCCCCCACCGCGUUGUUGGCUAGGAAUCGAUCCAUUUAGCCGUCCCCAAUCCCCAUCUCUUCGGUGUGCCUGCUUUCUCGGAGAGGAGAAGAGGGAGAUUUCUUUUUCCGUCCCCCACCCGCCGAUCGGGAUUUGAGAUUGUCCAGGCCGCUGGUUUCGCAGCGAGGUUCGGGCCUUCGUCGUGGGAUUGUAAGAUCCAUUUCCCCCGUAUGCUGUUGUUCUUCGAUCUAAUCUAGUGCUAUGAUGUUUGUUUGAUCUGGUAUUUGAUGGUGCUGGGUUUACUGAGGUUCCUCUUCUAGAUGUUGGUGGUUAGGAAAUUAUUUGCCUUUGACGAAGAAUUAGAUAGAUAGAUGAUGGUGAUCGUAUUUCUUUGCUGCGAUGUUAAGGAUAUCAAAUUGCCUGAAUUAAUUAUUCGUGGGAGAAUAUUGCCCAUAAUUUUGGAUAGGGUCUCUGUUCAGCUCAGAAUUUUGUGUAGAUUGUGUCUAUAUAUGUUCCAAUUAUCUUGAACUAUCUGUUUCGCCCGUUGUGAGUAUCAAUUUAUUCUUUUCUGUUAUGCUCCCAAAUUACCAGGAUUUGGAUAGUUUUGAACUAACUACAAUAGGAAUAUAGUUCAACAAAGAAAUUAGUGAAGUCUUUCUCUGAUUUUUAUGGUUUGCAAUCCCUGAUCUGUUACAUAUCUCUGUAGUUUCUCACCAGUUGAUCAUUCGGUUCUUCUCUGCAGUGAAAAUUUGAUGUGCUAAUGGAGUCCAAGGGUGGCAAAAAGAAGGCUAGCAGUAGUCGUUCCUCCCUGAUGUACGAAGCUCCCCUCGGCUACAGCAUUGAAGACCUCCGCCCUGCCGGCGGCAUCAAGAAGUUCUCUGCUGCUUACUCGAACGUAUGUACAAGACGAUUUUCCUUCAUUUUAUCUAUAUAAUUGCAGCUCUUGUAUGAUUUGGUGCUUACAGUGUGGAUUGUUUCAUCUCUUGCAGUGCACGAGGAAGCCAUCCUGAUAGCCCUCUCGUCGAUCCCGUCCUAGUAGCUUAGAAACCACCUGCAAUCAUUUUGAUCUUCCUAAAUCUCUCUGGCUAGCUGCUUUCUGGUGACCAAAGGGAUUUCUAGAAACUGCUUCCUGUCUUCCUCCCUCGGCUGUCUGUCAUCUUGCUUUGAAACAAUGGCAGUCCCGCAAGGUGCUGCUGCUGCCCCUCUCCCAGUCUCUGCAAUUGGGUUUGAGGGAUAUGAGAAGCGCCUUGAGAUCAGCUUCUCUGAGGCAUCUGUCUUCGCUGACCCCAACGGAAGGGGACUGCGCGCGCUCUCGCGCGCCCAGAUUGACUCUGUUCUUGACCUUGCACGGUGCACCAUUGUGUCUGAGCUCUCAAACGAGGACUUUGACUCUUAUGUCUUAUCUGAGUCAAGCCUGUUUGUGUACCCAUACAAGGUUGUCAUCAAGACCUGCGGGACUACCAAGCUUCUGCUUGCCAUUCCGAGGAUUCUUGAGCUUGCUGAGGAGCUCUCGCUGCCGCUUGCUGCUGUUAAAUACUCCCGUGGGACAUUCAUAUUCCCUGAUGCACAACCUUCCCCACACAAGAACUUCGCCGAUGAAGUUGCCUUCCUCAACCGCUACUUCGGUGGUCUCAAGUCCGGUGGGAAUGCUUAUGUGAUUGGAGAUCCUGUAAAGCCUGGGCAGAAAUGGCACAUCUACUACGCCACUGAGCACCCCGAGGAGCCUGUUGUUACUCUGGAGAUGUGCAUGACUGGGCUCGAUAAGAAGAAAGCUUCUGUAUUCUUCAAGACCUCUGCAGAUGGCCACAUCUCCUGUGCUAAGGAGAUGACCAAGCUUUCUGGCAUCUCGGACAUCAUCCCGGAGAUGGAGAUCUGCGACUUUGACUUUGAGCCCUGCGGCUACUCCAUGAACGCCAUCCAUGGCCCUGCAUUCUCCACCAUCCAUGUGACCCCAGAGGAUGGCUUCAGCUAUGCAAGCUAUGAGGUCAUGGGUUUCAACCCAGCCUCCUUCGACUAUGAUGACCUGGUUAAGAGGGUGCUGAGGUGCUUUGGCCCAUCUGAGUUCUCUGUUGCUGUGACCAUCUUCGGUGAGCGGGACAACGCAAAGACCUGGGGUAAGAAGCUGGAUGUAGAGGCCUAUGCCUGCAGCAACAUGGUUGAGCAGGAGCUGCCUGCUGGUGGCUUGCUCAUUUACCAGAGCUUCACUGCUACUGGCAAAGCUGCAGUUGGGUCGCCGAGGUCUGUCCUGCAUGGCUUUGGUUGUGACAGUGUUGAGAAUGGAUCUGAGAAUGGUGAGCUCGAUGCCCCCCUGUGCUGGGAAGAGGAUGCGGCGGAUGAGACUGAGGAAAGGGUAGCCAAGAAGCUGAAAUGCUGAUGCUGAUGUGAAAUGCUGAUGCUGAUGUGCUACUUUGGAGAUCGAAGAGAAGACCUGAGAGUUCUGUCAAGCAUAUUUGCUGCCCUUGGUUAUCUUGUGAAGCAGCCAAGCCAGAUUGUUUAUGCUAUAUAAUUUGUGUAAUGGUGCUGUGACGGCGCAUGCUUGUUAUGAAUAAUAAAAUGCUCUAGGUGGCCAGCUCUGUCUGCCACAGUGAGCCGAUGUGCCGGUAUUGUUUGUGAUAAACUUUAUGACUCGAUAAAGCCUCUGUUUGAUGAAAAUCUGAAAUAUGAAUAAAGUGUUUUUUAUGUGAUUUCAGUGUCACUUACAUAUCUUAUUCAAGUUAUAAUGGCCGAUUCGGGAGGCAUAUCAUCAAUCGUAUAUUGCCUUCGUUCAUGUUGAGUAUUUCAUUCCAAGGAGCAUGUUCUCUCUGGUCCGCGCAAUGUGAAGAGAAUGUAUGUAUGGCUGCGCCAAUGUUACGGGGCCGUUACGAACCUGAUGACUGACGUCUUUGGAACUGGAUUCGACCAUGGCCGCUGGUCGUGGUUGGGACGUUGGCAUCUGCUCACACUCAGACAGCAUCGUCUCGUAGCCACUAGCUUGCGAGAAUCUAGUUCUUGAUUAAGAUGGGCACUUCUCGUGGUUGCUGGAGAUCGGGGGCAACCGUUAACCGGUCCGGCAAAGUCGACUGGAUUACUAUGAUGGCAUUGCCAAAUGAGACUUCUCUUCCGGGCGUGAGGUACGUGGAGCUUGUCUGAACCGAGCAGCGCGAGGCACAUGUUCUGCAACCGUCUUCUCCACGUCCAUCUGGAAUCUUACGUCAUUACUAGGAGAUGACCAAUAAACUCAGCACAUGCCAAAUCAUGGAACCGAUGCAGACAGUGAUGCAAACAAAAGAAGACAGGAGGAAUGAAGUUGAUCGAGACAGUAGGAUUUAGCUAGGUCGUCUUUGCAGGGAUGAUCUUUUGCUUCAAGUAGUCUGUCUGGCUGUGUUGCGUUUGUCAUGCCUAGGCUGCUGGGACUUUUGCUCUUUUCCAACUCAAAAGGGUGACAUUCUUUUUUUUAAAAAAAAGCACUCAGCAAAUUUAUUCUCACAUACAUGGACAGCAAAAAACAUCACAUGAAACUUAACAUUAGUUGCAUCAGAAAAUCUGGGUACAUGGUUUCCACAAACCACCAACUGUAAACUGAAUGAAUUCCCUAUGAGAUCAAAUAAAGAAUGUGGUAGGUUACAACACAGAUGAGCAAUGUGAAAGAAUUGUUUCCAACCAAUGCAUAUAAAGAAUGUACCAUGAAAUUAUUGUACAGGACGAGCAUAUGCCUGCUGUUUCAGCAGGAGCUCGGGCAAUCAGAUAUCCGCAGCAGGAACUUCACUCACCAAUGUUGGCAUGCUUGUUGAAGAUACCGCGAGGGAUGUUCUCUUCCUCUUGCCGGCCCAGCAUAGCCGGAUUAUUUUGCCUUUACUUCUCAGGUUAAAAGCCUCUGUACAGUUGGCCCAGGGUAACAAAUGAGCCAUUGACUCCAAUAUUGGAGCAGAGCUGCGUCGUUGUGUGGGCGAAUGUUCCCUCAACUGUUCUUGCUCUGCUACAAUUGCAAGAUAGUUUUGAGUUGGGUUCUUUAUUUGACUGCCCAGGUAUCCCUGGCAGUUUAGUGCCUGGCAAUGGCACUUCACUUUCUCUCCAAAAUGCACAAACCUACAGAAAAACAAGCAAAUUAUUGUUGCUCAAAGCAAAGAGGAUAAAAUAUACACAGUUCAGUUUCAGAAAACGUUGUGUCCCCUCUGAAUUUAAUCCUGGUCUUUCAAAAACACAAGAAAAGUGUGCCAAUGUUUGGGUUAGCAAACUAAGGGUAAGGGCAGUAGUAGACUAGUAGUUGAGACUUGAGACCAGGAACCAACAGAAUAGUUAUGUUGAUUUCAGGGGGAAAACGUGGCAACAAUGUCUACUGCAACCAUUUAGCCAUAUGAAAUGGGCUGUCUAUGGCAUCUUUGAAAAACAUAAAAGCAGUUUGAACUUGUAACACCCUGUCCUCCAAACUGCACCACCCAACCCUUCCGAGGAGCGGGCACACGUACACAUAGCAUCCUACUUACACUUUUGUUCUCGCUUCGUGUAAAAAGUUUAACCCGAAGGUUCUAUGGCUGGAGGAUAAAGGCUUAUGAGUUGGCUUCACCCUUGCUCAACUAGUAAGGUGGUACUAAACAUGCGCACCUGCGCUCAUGGGCCACUACUAGGCCCAAAUUUGGGCCGGAUGUCACAGAACUAAAGCUAAGCUAAUCUCCCAUCCUGGCCUAUGUUUGUAAGCUUCAAGAUGCAUGCAAGUCAGAGAGCAAAAGAACAUUAAAAAAGCUAAAUAAAUAAGUAUCAUAGUCUCUGGUACGAAAGUUUGCACUUGUGAUUCACCACACAGAAAGGUAAAGAAAUGGUUCUUAGAUCUAAGAUUUUAGACUGGUAAAUAAUUGAUCACAUCAAAACACUACAAGGGGAUGCAGAUGCUAGUUUGAUCACUUUGGCGCCACCUUACCAAACUAGAUUUCACAAAUUUCUUUUGGUGUCACUGCAAUCAGCAGACUGCAGGGAGGCGUUUUCUUGUUAUCAAAUAUGCAGUGCAAGAAAAUAUAUAUUAGCCUUUUUAAUUAAGAAUGCAUGUCCUUUCAUAAGUGCAAUAGAACAAAAUAUUUGGUUGAAAUACCUGUAGUCAUAGGUUAAGGGAUCUCCAACUUUGACGGAACGAGAGGCGAAGACACCGACUCUUGUCUCACCGUCAACCUGCCUGGCAAAGCCAUAGAAACAAUCAGGAACGUGAUAUAACAUGAUUUCUUUUUCUUGUUCAAGAACACAGUAUUACCAUUUCUCGAGUUUACAGUUGGGGUCACAGCUGUGGUUUAGAAAACGUGAUACAUUUCCUUUAAAUGUCGCAUCUAUUGUAAAAUCUUUGCUGAUUUCGCACAUGUAGAAGUUUUUGUCACCACGCGUUCUUAUAUCCCAAAGCCUUUGUUCACAUAUGGCGUCGUCAAUGACUGAAAAAAUGUUUUAAACAAAGAGAGGAAAAAAAUGCAUGAGGCGAAGCUGUGCAACACAAUAAGCUUCACAAGGAUUAGCUCAUAAAUCAGAAGCAAAGCAGCAAAAUUUCAGUAAACCGAUUUCUCCAUUGACCAAAGGGUGAAUGGUCCCAGUAUGAUGGUAGCAUGAAGUUCAGAGAGGAAAAGCUGAACCAUAAACAAAAAGGGAAUGAUAAGAGAAACGUUUUAACACAAUGUACAGUGCUAUACUACAGAAGACUGAGGCACAAAUGAUGAGUAAGUGUCCCUGUUUUUAGUUGUAGCUGAACGUUUUUUUUUUCAAAAAUAAUGCUAAGUCCCCAGUUGGGAAAAAGCAUCAGGCAGCAUAUACUUUCAGGUUAGCCAUGAUAGCUAUGUGCUACCUUCAGUAUAUCUUUACAACUUGCAUAAGGCAACUUGCAAGAUUUACCUUGGCAAAAUUAUUAUUCAACUAAAAGAACCCUUGCAACUUUUGACCAACAAUUAGUUAACUGCAUCGAUAGAUUUGCAUUCAAAUGAAUUUUGAUAUCAAUUUUGUAGUUUUCGACAAUGUAUUGCAAGAGAAAUUAAAGGUCAAAAUCUACUUUUGAGAACUCCUAAAAAAUGCCUUCAUGUUGAUGAACAGAUGGAGUACUAACUUAUUAAGGGUACAUGGACAAUGAUAAUGGAAAGUUUGAGUAAUUUUUUUGGAGAGACAGAGCGCAUUAAAAUUUGCAUGGACAACUGCAUAUUUGAGAACAUAGCAAAAAUGUGACCAUAUUUGAGAACAUAGCAAAAUGUGACCCCACCACCACAAAUGUUGCGCGGAAGGGUCAUCUAUCAAGAGCUUACUAUUUCUGUUGGUUCUAUUUUUAACUAAAAUUAUAGCAGGAAAAUAAAACCUUACCUUCACCAACAUACUCAAUUACAAAAUCACCUUUCUCCAAUGGCUCCAAUGCAACAGCACCCCAUCCACAAUGCUCUGUCUGUAAAGGGAAAAUGCUGCUGUGGUCAUAAUCAAAUGAAAACUAAUGCUAAGUAAAAUUGCACUCAGAAAAAGAAUUAUUCUGGCAGCGCUAAACCACGCUACCUCUAUUGCCCAUAUGGAGGUGCAAACAUGCAGAUGUGUCUGAUUUUUUUUUCAUAGAAACAAUUGGCCUCUAUUGCCAAUAUGGAGAUGCAAACAUACAGGUGUGUGUGAUUUUUCUUUUUAUCGAACCAAGUGAACUCUAUCAUACAUGAUGCCAGGUCAAUUUCACUGAGCACCCUAUCAUUGGCACAUGUUUUGCAUCACAUACAAGGGGAUAUUCAGGUCUGAAUGUACAGGGUUUACUAUGGCAGCAGUAGAUAGUAAGAAACCUAAAGGCCUGAUGGAUGAGGGAAUCUGGAUCCACACACUUCUAUCCAUGGUGCAUUUAGCGACGUUUAAAAAGAUAUGUUGGAUGUUUUUGUAACUCGCACUAACUAAAAGUCUAACACUAAGGUAACAGUAACACUCCUGAUCAUAUUACCUUUAAUACCACUCCUAAACAAAUCAGUGUUUCAAAGAUUAGGCAACACCAACCUAUCACUUUGAUGCACAAACUCUUGAGAAAGUAUAAACUUACAAACUUAAAAAGUUUGAAAACUUUAAGUAAAACCAAAACAUGCAACGCUAUUAUGUACUAAAAGGAAAUAAGGAGUGAAUAAAUUGGUGGCAUAAGUUCCUAGAAAAGCAAGUAAGCACAUCAUGGACAAGAAAGCUACCUUAACAAUUUUAAUUUUCUUAUCCUUGCGGAAUGGCCUGUUGGUACAUAGAUCUGAGCAGCGGCAAUUCUUGGAACAACUCAUCGAAAGACCCCUGAUAAGUCAAAAUCAAAUUUCAUUGGAGGAAAGUAAACAUGUAUGGAUUCUAUACACAUCAUACAGAACUUCCUAAACGAUUAUGCCAACUUAUUCAUCAAAUAUUAGUAAUACAUGAGUGCAAACAUCCAUAAUAUGCACAAGUACCAGUGCCACUGUUCAGUGAAUAUGGUACUGCAUUUGCUUAGCUUAUAAUGCAGAAAACAAUAUGAAUAAUUGCUAAGAAGUAGGUGCUCAAACGUUUAAACUUAGGCCCAGGUUAAAAUGCAGGAAUAUUAUAAAAGUCCAAGUGGAGUGAAAACCAUAGGAUUAAAACCACAUGAAACAUGUGGGUAACAGGAUAUAUUAAGGGCAAGAUAGACAAUGAGGUUGGAAUGAGGGUUCAUUACUGUGGAAUUCCUCUAAAAUCAAAGAGAAAGGAAUCCUAUCUACCGAAAUUCUUUAUCAUUAUGAUGUUUCAAGCGCUCGAUAGUGCUCAUUAAAAUGAAUGGAAAAUCCUACAUUUUCCAGUGAACAUCCUAUUCCAAACAGCUUUUGCAUGGUCAGAGCAGCACUAUAACAUGGGAGUGAACAUCCUCUAAAGUGCGAGACAGCUUAUACACUAAGACUUUCCACAAAACACAUAGUACCAAAUAGCAUACAUAACAGAACCUUUUAAUUGAGGUGACAGAUGUGGAUUUUGUGCAAGUCUCUUGCAACCUGUAGACACAAUACCAAAACUAUAGAAGUGCACUAUAGGGGAAGACAACGAUAUAGACUAUAUCUUUACUUUAAAACAGCGCUAUAACAUGGUAGUGUUGAUACAAUCAGAUAACACAUGUUUAUGCCUUCUCUUUGCUAAAAUAAUUCUGGUUCCAUGUUUAGAACGCAUAUUUAAAUAGCAAUUCACAUGUCUUUGGCAAGCUUCAAUAGAGCAAGAACAAAUACCUGCAUUCACAAUCUUCUUUGCAAGUAGAAUCAGCUCUGCAGUUCGUGCACCCAGUAUCCACAUGAACACUAGUGCGCUUCUUUUUUAUCAAAUAUACAUCUUUUACAAAUGAAGGAAAUAACCAUGGUGUACUUGUGCAAGAAUGAAAAGCAGACAAACAAAAAGCUCAUCUAACUAUAUAGCUCCAGAAAGAAUAGAAAUCUUCACUACUGACAAGUAACGCUUUAGGAUACUGCGCCUGAUGGACGUAUAGGGGGGUGGCUUGUAAACAGCCUCAGAAAAAUCCCUAAUGGUUGAAUCAAUAUUGAAUUCUUCGUUAACAUAUGGAAGAGGUAGCCGGCGAAACACUUCCUAUGAAAUAAGCAUGUUAGUGUAGCCAUGAAUAACUAUCGCAUACGAAAUGCACUUCAUCGUGAUGAGACAGUAGUACUUCUACAGUUGUACUAGACAAAGUAAUCUUUUUUUCCUGAGGCUUUACAUCAUUAGAAACUUAACCAUGUUCCUCAUCAAAUCUUUAUUUUACUACACAUUCCAGUUGCAUCACUAGUACUAAAAACUACCAAAGUACAAAUAAAAAAAAUAGCCAUUAAUUCCAAAAAUGUGGUGUUUUCGACUUCCCAGUCCCCAAGAUGCAACAUGGCCAUAAGUUUUUAUAAAAGCAUAAUAGCAAAGAUCGUAACUAAAAGACGUAAUCAUAUAUGCUAAUAUGCCAACACUCUUGUAGUGUAGUGGUAAGCUCCCCAGUUGAGGGAGACAUCAACGAGGGUUCAAAUCCUGGUGGCAGCAUAAAAAACUCCUCGCCGCCAGGCUGUGGCACCUGUGGUUGGUUUGGGCCCUCCUACCAGGUGUAGUUGUAGUGGUUGCCAACCCAAUGGGUCAUGGUUGCGCCAGGUUAUGGUGCGGCCCUAUAGGGUGAAGCCGGGGUUCAAGGGUUUUCUCGGCCGGCUUGGCUGAGAUUUCUUUCUUCGUGUAAUGCCGUGGGGGUAGUCUUUCCCCCGCUGGUAGAGUUUUUUUAUAUGCUAAUACCAUUUCUAUGCGGCCAUUCAAAUACUUAUACACAUAUUAGUGGUCAACCAUGCAAACAAAUAGUGGAAAAAGUACUAAAACAUUAGUUUACACUAACUAUUUUUUUUCUUCUUUAAGAGUAGUAAAAGCACAUUCUGAAACCUACCCAGCAAUGCCAUUAUAAAGAUAGGCUGCUAAAGAAGCUCUGAAAAUGGUUUAUUCAAGAAAACAACAUGCACACUUUAUAUGAAUGAAAUAAUCAUAAAAGAAAAGAUAGCAAAGGUGCAGUUAUGUCAUGCUUGCACUCACCUCUAUGCUGUUGGUAAAGUCAGCAUUCUGUCACCAGCAAACAAAGUAUUCCUGUCAGCCACCUCAACCAUUACAAAUAUUAACAAAAGGGUGUGUGGGAUGCAUUGUCAUAAUAUUGUCCAAGCUAAACCUCAAAGGUAACAUAUUCUUGUUUGGUAUUAAUCUUCCAAGGAUCUAGAGAUGAAACAAAAAGAUAGUUGGAAUGUAAUGGAGGAAUCAGCACUGUGCUUGGAGAAAACACAAUGAAUAUGCAUGCAACUUUUUAAAAACUCAUACUAGAAAGUUUCCCUCUUGCCUGUUUAUCAAAUUAGAUUGGAUAAGCUGUUAUUGUUUCUUUCAUAUAUGACAACAUGAAGUGAGCAAUUUUAAGGAAAAAAGGAUAGACCUCAUUUUGCAGAAGCCAAUCGGAAGGAUGCCUCCAGCAAAUUGCACUUCCUCGAUUGUCUUUUAGAUGAAUCACUGGCCAUGGUGCACAUUUCGUAUGUGCUGCAACUGUACAACGCCCACAGCGCCAAAAGAACAUCUUUUGCUUACAAACCAUACAGGCCUAAGAAGCAGAAAGUUAAACAGAUGUCCCUAAUGAUCAAGUAAUGUAACCAAUCCAAGGACAGGAACUGAAAUAAAACAUAAUUUGAAAAACAAAAUACAGGUGCAUCUACUGCAAUAGCAAAACCCAAGUUUAUUGCAGAUAAAUCUCUAUAUUAUUGUUGCAUUUACGAUAUCUACAAUGCACACUGCAUGCCUUGCCUUCCGACCGUCAAAUCUUGCAAUCAUAUAUUGAACGUAUCAUCCACUAAUAUGAAAAAAGGAAUAGCUAGAGAAGAGCAUAAUAUAAAAAAUAAUGACACUGGAGUAUGAUAAUCAGAGAAGUUUGAAAUUAAUAUUAUAUCUAUAGUUCUGACUUGUAUAUUUGGUAAAAUGUUACAUCCCCAAUGCAAAGUUGCACAAAUUGAAAAGCGCCCCAUGCCAUAAAAUUGGAACUUACAUGUUGAGGGCACCUGAAGCUUUCAGCGGUGAAGUUUGAAGUACCUUUCACAACACAGUUAAGAUGGAACACCUUUGGACAGCGAGCAACCGAACAUUUUAUUUCUUCUCCAGCAUAAAUAGUCUUGGAGCACAAACAGCAUUCGACCUUUGCACAAACGAAGAAGGUAUGAGAUGCUAACCAGAUGAAAGGAACAGAGAAUGGAUCCUAAGUCAACGAAUAAGACUAAUUACUCCUGCUGAUCAAAAUUAUAAUCCGUUUUAGGAUUCCUAACAAUCAAACUUUUCAACUUUGAUCAUCAAUAUAAUAAUUAAUAAUGUAAGAUUGAUCUCAGUAGAUUCAUCAAGAAAGCAUUUCCAUAGCACGCAAUCCUUUUUUUAUUUUAGGUAUAAUAUUUUAAUAGAAAUUGCUAGUGAAAGUUCCACCCUAUAGAUCACAUCAAUGUCCUAAACAACUUAGAUUUAUGACAGGAGGGAUAACUUCAGAAUUAAUGUAUUGCAGUUACAAAUUUUAACUGAUAGAUAGGCAUACUAAGUAUGAUGGGUUUAAGUUAUGGGACAAUAAGCAAUUCAGAGGUAGAAAUCUUUAUAAAAUGGUUGCAGGCUUUGUAUCUAGGGGAUCGUCUCCAUUAAAGGAUUCAGAAUGUUGCAACGUUUCAAAAAAAAUUGCAUAUAGUAUUUUACAUACAGAUAAGUUAACUGUUAACCUGUAAAAAAAUAAAUGUCAAAUCCAUCCUAGAUGCCAAUAAACAAAAUAGACAAGCAUUGCUCAUCAUGUGCUAACAGUACCACUUGUGUUUCAUCAACUGUGAUAUUACAGAUGAAUCUGAAAUUGAAUUUUUGCUAGUUUCUUUGACUUCAUAAAGUAUGUACAUGAUUUUUCAGAUUUUUUUAAGAAACCACAGAAUGUUGCAUUAAUAGUAUUUUCACUAGGGGCAUGCACUAGAACCCUGGUCACCAUCACAAUUUCGAUACAUUUUUACACAUAUCAUAUUAUCUUUUUGCCUGUCCUUGGGUUUCAUCUUUAGCCUAUCCCAGUUUGCUUGGGACCAAAGGCAAUGUUAACCCACCAUAUUUUCUACUAUCUGCCCAAAGCUAUUUGGAUAUUGUGGCUUUUCGGAGUCUCUUAUUCUUGGAGGAAACUUUGAGCAUUAGCUCCCGACCUCCCAUGGUGACAGAGCUGUAAAGCUAUUAAGUUUAAAUUUGAUAUCAUUUUAACAACAAACAUACUAGCACUAUUUUGAUAUUACCAAUGCACAUAAUUGAAAGUAUGUCACAGUUAAAGGAAAACUGAUUGCAAACUGUCAAGAAAGUCUUAAAUCUCAAAUAAUAAGUGACUAAAAGGAGUGAAACACAGAAACAGACACGCACGCACACAAUGAUUACAUAUUAACAAUGCUCAGGCGUAGAUGUAAUUGUCACCACAAUGCUAAAGAAUUCCCCGGAUGGACCUGAAUUGCAAGAACGAAUAAGCGUUCUAGCUGCGUUUUGCUUGAUCCGCCCAGACAUAAAGAGUCUUGAGUUAAAUGGGAAUUCGAAGUGAGCUGAAACAAACAUUGGUCCGACAACGCGAAGCACUUCGAGCAAAAAUCCUUACCGCCUUUGGCGCGCCGGUGAGGAAAGGCAGCACGCAGUGGUGGGCAGGGACGCCGGCCGCUGUCUUCCUAGCCACCCACUCGCUCACGCGUUUCUCGAGCAUCGGACCCCGAGCUGGAGCCUGCGCCCGAGACGUCCCGGGUGACGGAGCAAGUGACGGCUUCUUCCCACCGCCACCGCCACCGCCACCGCCGCCGCGCCGCGCGGCCGGGCAGGUGGUCGCAGCGUCCGCGCCCCCCAUGUCGAAGGUGCGGACACGGCCGCUCCAUCGACAUUCCAUUGGAAGCAUGAGGGGGCCGCCGCCGCCGUCCACAGAGGCAGGCGAAGACGCGGACGCGGGCGCCGCGUCGAUCGAUGCGGCGGCGGCGGCGGCAUCCCCGGCGUGGUCGUCGGCGAGGUCCCCCGCGGCGUCGACGGAGAGUUCGGGGAAAGGAGGGAGGUAGACUGUGCUCAGAUCCGGCAUGGCCGCCAGCGGGGAGGGGCUGUGUGCUAGGGUUUGGAGGGCAUUGGGUAUGGGGUUGGUCGGAGACGUGGAAAUGGACGGAAGACGUGAGCACCGGGGAAGAAGAGGACUCCUCACUCCCGUGUCUCGCCAGAUUUGGGAGCCAUUUUUUCUGAAUUUUUAUUGACUUUUUCUCACACUUUUUUGCUUCAUCCGUAGUAUUUGCUUCAAUAUUAUUAGAGUAGUGGAAAUCGUUUUUUGCUUCGACAGCUGCUAAUUUUUUUUUCUUGUGGUGCCAGUUGAAUUGCAGGGCUUGCUCAUUUUUCACUUUCAGGCAGUAUAAAGAUUCCACGUUACUUAACUAAAAUUGUGCUUGCAAUAUAAUAUACAAUUUCGGGAUGCGUUUAUCGUAUUCUUUUCGUCCGCUAAGUUCUAUGAAAAAAAUACUAUUGAACAUGGGGGAUUGAAAUUGAUUCCAGAUAACUUUGAAUUUUAGGAUAGUAAUUUUAUUUAUUCAAUAAAAGGGCAAAAAUAUUCAAAAUAAAUGAUAGAUAUACAGGGAAAAAAGGGCAGCUAUAGGUAAUAUAUUGAAUCAACCUUAAGUUUUUGAGGCUUUCAAAUUCUUUUACUUCGAGGCAGUAUAAACAUUCCACGAUACUGAACUAAAAUUGUGCUUACAAUAAUAUGCAUUUUCGGAUGCAUUUAUCAUAUUCUUUUAGUUUCUAAAAGAAGCCAUGGCUCAUGUGAAAAGCUGAAUCAAAAUCCGAAGGCAAUAACUUGUGUGUUGUUGAUGCCCGAUUAGUUUGAAUAAUGAUUGUCUAUCAAUGAUUAUCGUAAUGAUAAAAAAAAAGUUGAGUUGGCAAAGAUUCCCUCGUGCUACUAUGUUGUAGCGUAUUUUGUCAAGGAUCCACACCAUUAUAGAAAAAAACACGGGGACUGGAAACAUGAUUCCAGAUAACUUUGAAUCUAUUGAAUCAAACCUUAAAAUUUUCAGACUUUCAAAUUAUUUUACCCAAUUAUUAAUCAGUCUGAUAAAUCAAUUUUCUAGAAAAGUGGAUCUAAAAAAAACCCAUGGGCCAUGGCAUAUAUGCCAGGGCGGCUUGUAAUAAUGCCAAGUCGAGAAAGAGUGGAGGCUGGGCCCGCUUGGGCGGGCCACGCAGGGAGCGCGGCAAGGCUGCGCGGGAAAACUAGCCUGUGCUAGUGAGGCAUUUACGAACGGAAGAACUGGCGCGGCCGCACCAAAUGGCAAAUGGGCCCAUGAUUCAGCCAUGAGGCAAAGGCAAGACGACGCGCGCGCGCGCGCGCGCGGAAGUGAUGUGCCGCUGCCGGCCGACCCGCGUCAGAUUUUUUUCGGUGGCUCCCGUUGGAUUUUUUUUUCUCCCUCCCUCCGCGGAGGUACGAGGUGGUCUUUUCUUUUCCCUGCUGCUCCCACGGUGUCGCACGUCCCGCGAGGCGUCCGACGAGAGGAAGAAUGAACAAGAAGCAGGCCACAAACAGGAGCACACACUGAUGAUUUGACGAUCGCAUUACAUGCAAUUUCGUCCCGAUGAAUGCAGAAGCUUUAAGGCUUACGCGGAGGCAGAUAGGCGAGUGUUUUUCCCCACCCAAACUCAAAGACACAUCCCGUAUUCCCCGUACCCGAUUGGCCGAUCACAGAACUGAUCUCCUGAUGAGCCAUGGAGCUAGUCACUUUUGCAAUAGAAUAAGGUUAUGCUACCCAUCAUGCUAACAUUACAAUGCAGGGACAUAAAGAACCGGAUGUCAGCACGAUGCAAAUAUAUGCCGAAUGCUCCAGGUAUCAGCAAGAGUAUCUGUAAAUUAGCUAGUCAACUUGACGAUUGCAUCACAAGCAACUUUUGGAAAACUGUAAAUUGGGCGUGUUGAUCGGCAUCAUUAGCUGAGGCAUUCAAUGAUUCGUCACGGAGAUCUUGCUCAAGUUCAUAGUCCAAACCUUGCCUCCCAAAGUCAACCAUUUUUUUUGCAGGGAAUUCAUAUUAUUUUCCGGUGAGAAAUAAGUGCAAAAUGAUUAAAUGAACUCGAAAAUAGAGAAUAAGGCAUUGUAGCGGGAGAUCCCAGUUUCAUAAUGACUUUUUGGCAAAUCCAUUUGCGGGAUGGCUUGAGAUAAGUUUUACCUCCGUGAUACCAACCACAUUAUACUAUGAUGUUUGAAUCCCUGGCAAAAGAGCUUGUAACAUACAGAGCAAAGACGUUUGAAACCUAAAAUUCUUCUUGUUGUCAAUGAAAAAAGCAAGUCCAUAUUAAUCACUAAGUAAGCACUCUUUGCACACUUGAUGAUACAAAUGAAUUGGAACUCCACUUUAUUUUGGUUCCAUGUUUUUUGCUUGGGCACCAUGUAGAUUUUUAAAACAGCAAUACACAAUACGUAGAAUAACCAUAUUUUAUAGAAAGAUUUUAACCACCUGGUAAUCACAAGACUCGGGUGUCUAAAUUAAUACUAAAUCCGUAUGAAAAUGUAGUUGAUCUUCUGCCAUGGUACAAGCUAGAGGCAGCAUGCGAAAGCAACCGUCAGAUCGAACGACCAACGGUGCGUAUCGAGGCGCGGUUCUCUUGACAACCAUCUGGCACGAGGAUUACAGUUUUUGAUGAUUUGACGAUUGCAUUUCCAGGAAAUUUUGUAUUGAUAAAACUGUAAACUAGUUCUUUUGUUAAGAAGCUGAACUAGUUCUGCUAGCUGCACAGGAUAAAUGCGACGCAAACAAGCUUAAGCGGAAGUAGAUGAUGAAUUGCUUUUUCCACCCAAACUGACUUUUUUUUUUCUUUUGCAGGAACUGAACAAUAAUUUAAAAGCUAAAGAAGCAUCUCAUACCCGAUUGGUGCACCAACACAGAACUUACUCCUGAUGAGCCUCGGUCAAUUUUGCAAAAGGCUAGUACGCCCGUAUUGCUAACAUAGAGUGCAGGCACAUCAACAGCUGACUCCGAACACGAUACAAAUUUACAAAUAUAUACCGAACACUCCAAGUAAGAUAUAUCCAUCUAUAAACAGAUAUAUACACAGUUUUACCAUCCAGAUGAAAUCCACCGGUUACAUCAGCACAAGUAUCUCCUGGCACGCAGCUGGAUACAAGGCUAGGAUAACAGAACAGCUUACAGAGAGUUAGUUAACCAGGCGUGAACUCUGAAGCUUGUCAACUUCCUUCUUCAACCAUGGACCACGAAGUUUUGGUGCAUAACAAAGAAACAUCUCCCGCUUCAUGACAUCCAUGAAGACAUCAGAGGCGAGGAUCUUGAUCCCAUCUGGCACAUCAUCCAUGGCAUCUAGCACAUCCAGGCAUCUUGAUAUAGAGUAAUCUUUUCCUUGAUUUGCUUCUUGUUCGUUCAUGUUAGCUCGUGCGCUUCUGGACUCUGGAUGAACUGACCCGGUGUCCUUGCUGCAAGGCGUCUCUACUAUAGCCUUGUGUUUCUUGAAUAUUCCUCCCUUCGAUGCACUCAAAGGUCUUUCAGUUACAUGCUCAUCACUUCUUUGGCCUUGUUGAUCACCAUCAUUAGCUGAGACAUCCAAUGAUUCAUUCACGUUAGCUUGUACACUUCUGAACUCUGGAUGAACUGAUCCAGUCUCCUCGACACAAGGCGUCAGCGUCACUGCUAUAACCUUGUGUUUCUUGGAUAUUCCUCUCUUUGAUCUGGUCAAAGGUCUUUUAGUUACACGCUCAUCAUUUCUUUCGGCUUGUUGAUCGGCAUCGUUAGCUGAGACAUUCAAUGAUUCAUCAUGGAGAUCUUGGUCAAGUUCAUGGUCCAAACCUUGCCUUCCAAAGUCAACCAUUAUUUGCGUGGAAUUCAUAUUAUUUUGCUCUUCACCAAUGCUUGCAACAUGUUGAGCACUGGCACCAAUGGUUGCAUUGUGUGGGCGUCUUGUAGCAAUAGCUGAAAGCACAUAGAUAUUGUCCCGCAUCAGAGUUUGUGUUUGAAAAAAAGAAGAGGAUUACUGGAAAGCUAUGUUUCCUGUUAAGCACUAGGAUAUUAACUUAGUUUUGAACAAUAUCACACCUCUCUCAAGAAUAUUUUGGAAAAUGUACAACUUUACCUUCACACAUGAGAUCCAAUGGAUGAGAUGGCGGGAGAUGUUGGUGUUCCAGAAACAAGCACUUUGGUACCUUAUCUUUACACCUCCUUACAGGCCUACAGGAUUUAUUAAGUGAUCAAAAUAAGUAGGAGUGAUGAACUGUUAACUUAAAUCGACAAAAAAGGAGGCGUCAUUUACAAAGAAUCUGAGAUGUACUAAAGGCAACUUAAAAUCUUCUAAACCUUCUUAUAAGUUAAAUCUAAAAACAGGGGUUUCUUUUGCAACGAGUCUGAGAUGUACCAAGGGCAACUUUAAAUCUUCUACGCGUUGUUAUUUGUGGAGUGUCUUCUUGGUACACAGCGGAGCAAUGGCAACUUUUCCAAAAACUCACUGUCAAAAAACUAACUUUUCCAAAAACUCAACAAAAUUCCCCUGAUAAAUCAGAUGAAUUUAAUGUCACCUGACAAAAUGUACAAUGCUAGAACCUAUAGCCUCUCAUCGUUGCAACAGUAUAUAAUAAAAUAAAUUGUUUGAAGUACCUGUACUCAUAAGUUAAGGGCUCUCCAAUUUUGAUGGCACGAGAAGCGAAAAAACCAACUCUUGUCUCACCGCUAACCUGCCUGGCAAGGCCAUAUAAACAAUCAGGAAUAUCGUACAACAUGAACUUUUUUUCUUGUUCAAGAAUGUAGUAUUACCAUUUUUCUAGUUUACAGUUGGGUUCACAACUGUGGUUUAGAAAACGUGAUACGUUUCCUUUAAAAGUUGCAUCUAUUGUGAAAUCUUUGCUGAUUUCACACAUGUAGAAGUUUUUGUCACCACGCUUUUCUAAAUCCCGAAGCCUUUGUUCACAUGUCGUGUCAUCAAUGACUGAAACAAUGAUAAGAAAAGGAGGGGAAAAGAAUUAUACAUGACGCCUUAUACGAUACAAUUAACUUCACAAAAAUUAGCUCGUAAAUUAAAAGAAAAGCAGCAAAAUUGCAGUAAAAUGAUUACUCCAUUGACUAAAUGGUCCCAAUAUGAUGAUACCAUACCGUGGCAGAGAGGAAUAGAUGAAUUAUAAACAGAAAAGGGAAUGAUAAAAGAAACAGUUGAAUACAAUGUACACUACUAUACAGUAGGUUCUAAACAAAUUGUCUCCAAGCCUCCAAUGCAUCACAAGUCAAAAGACUAUGCGGCACAAAUAAAUGUAUAAGUGUCUCUAUUUUUAGUUAUAGCUAUGUUAUACAUGCUUAUGAUUAUUUGCACAAAAUAUCCCUUCAAUAUUCAACCAUUGGAUUAUAUAGCUGGACAAAUGCAUUAAGCAAGAAGCCCAUUCAAAUGAUAGGCAUGUGCCUUUGGUAGCACUUUACAACUUGCAUAAGGUAAUCUGCAAGAUUUUACCUUUACAAAACUAUUUUAAAAACUCAAUAUAAUCUAAAUGGCAUUAGAACUUCUUCACGAGUUUUAAUAGAAUCAUACCAUCAAGCAUGGUAGUACUAACUUAUCAGUACUAGACCACAUAUAAUGGAAAGUUAAGUAAUUGUUUGGAAGCACAAAGUACAUGAAAAUUUGGGUGGAACUAACCAAUGAAAACGUGAAAAACUGCAUAUUUUGAGAGCAUUAGCAACAUGUAACUCCAAAUGUUAUGCAGAAAGUCAUCUAACAAGAACUUGCUAGUUGCGCUGGUUCUAUUUUUUUUUUAAGAAAACAUGACCAUGAAAAAAUAACUUACCUUCACCAACAUACUCGACUAUAAAAUCACCUUUCUCCAAUGGCUCCAAUGCAACAGCACCCCAUCCACACUGAUGUGUCUGUAAAGGGGAAAUGUUGCUGCAUUAUAAUCAAAUGAAAACUAGUGCCAUCUUUGACUCUGAGUAAGUAAAACUGCACAACAAACACAAAACUCUCAGAAAAAAAAUAAUCACUCCCACUGCACUAAACCAGGCCACCUCUAUUGCCCAUAUGUAGGCGCAAGCAUGCAGGUGUGUCCAUUUUUUUGUUUCAUCCAACCAAGUGACCUCUAUUCUACAUGAUGCCAGGUCAACUUCACAGAAAACCAAAGGGCCAACAUCAUUUUGCAUCCGAAAACAAUACAAGGGAAUUUUGAGUUUUAAACGCACAGGGUUCACUAUGGCAUCAGUAGAUGGUAAGAAAACCAAAGGGCCCCUGUUGAUGAGGUGAAUUUGGACUUAAUCUUUAGGGUUUGGAUCCACACUCCCCUAUUUACAUAGGCCAUAAGAGUGCUUUAACGAUAUUUAAAAAUAUACUGGAUAUUUUGUAAACCACACUAUAUAGAAGUCUGACAUUGGGUAGCAGUAACAACCACAGAUCAUAUGACCUUUGCUACCACUCCUAAAUAAUUUAACAAUUAAAAAUUAGACGCCACUAGGCCAUCGCUUUGAUCCACAAACUCUUGAUCCUAAACAAGUUGGAAACUGCAAACAUAUAAUAUCAAAACAUGCAACACUAUUUUGUGCUGAAAGGAAAUAAGGAGUGAAAAAAUUGGUGACAGUUCCCAGAAAAUCAAGCAAGCACAUCAUUGACAAGAAAGCUACCUUCACAAUUUUAAUUUUUUUAUCCUUGCAGAAUGGCUUGUUUGUACAUAGACCUGAGCAGCGGCAAUUCCUGGAACAACUCAGGGAAAGAGCCCUGACAAGUCAAAGCCAAAUUGGAACACCAUUUUGGAGGAAAGUGACGUGUAUAGAUUCUAUAUACAUCAUAUAGAACUUUACCAUCAAUCAUGCUAACUUAUUCAGCAAAUAUUAGUAACACACAAGCGCAAACAUUUAUGAACAAGUACCAAUGCUACUGUCCAGCAAAUAUGGCACUGGUUUAAGAUGCAGGAAACAAUAUGAAUAAUUUGUUAAAAAGUAGGUAUUCAAAUGUUUAAACUUGCCCAAGUUAAAAUGCAGCAAUACUUUCAGAUUCCAAGUCAAGUGAAAAAUGUUGCAUUGAAAGCCACAUGAAAAUUAAGGGUAACAGGAUAUAUCACCUCAGUCUUAUAUGAGCGAGAUAGAAAUGAAGGUUCAGAUUACAGUGAAAUUCCUCUAAAAUCAAAGAGAAAGGAAUCCUAUCCAGUGAAACUCUUUUAGUCAGUAUGAUAUGGAUUGACUAGGGAUAGAUGGAAUAGCAGGAAGAACCGACUAGUCACACUCCUCUAGAGGCUCUGACUCCAUUUUAGGAUUAUUGUUGUUCAUCCUAGAGUUUGCCGGAUGCCUUUCUUUUACAGACCAGCUCCUAACAUAUGUGGCUAACUGAUUCAAUUAAAUGAUCAUAUCUAAGAAACCAUCUAAUAAACUGACUAAUACUAUUUUAACCUUCACAUGUUUCCUUGCCAGACACACAGCUAGUUUGCUGCAUUGAUGCGGCUGUUGCCUAGCCUUGCAUUAUGGAACCAGUGGUCCCAGGCCCAAUGGCCGAUCCAUAACACAGUAUGAUGUUUCAAACGCUCGAAUAGAGCUCAUUCAUAUGGGAUGGAAAAUCGUACCUUUUUACGAUGAACAUCCUAUGUUCCAAAUAUGCCUUAGCAUAGUUCUAACAGCACUCAACAUGGAAGUGAACAUGCUAUCACUUAAACGUUUCUAUGUCAAGGUUUUCCGCAAACUACAGUAUCAAUACUCCCUCCAGUCAUUAAUACUUUAUGUUUUGGACAAACAAAACAUACUAAAACUAGCUUGUUUUCUUUCUCCAAAACACCAUGUAUUCAUGACUGGAGGUAGUAGCAUACAGUGGACAGGAUUCCUUAUUUGAAGUGACAGAUGUGAAUUUUGUGCAGUUUUCUUGCACCAUUCAAACACAACACUUAACGAUAGAAAUGCAUUUCAGGGAAAGAGAACAAUACAGAGUUACAGACUAUAUCUUUAAUUUAAACCAGCACUGCAACAUUUACCGUUGAUACAAUCAGAUAAUGCAUGUUUGUGCUUUUUUUUGUUAAAAUAAUGUUGGUUCCAAGUUUCGAACACAUUUUUAUAAUAAAAGUUUUGCACAAACAUUCACAUGUCUUUGGCAUGUUUCAACAAAGUAAGAAAGAAUACCUGCAUUCACAGUCUUCUUUGCAAGUAGAAUAAGCUCUGCAGUCUGUGCACCCAGUAUCCACACGAACACCAGUGCGCUUCUUCUUGAUCAAAUAAAUAUCUUUUACAAAUUAAGGAAAUAGCCAUGAUGUAAUUAUGUAGAAAGAAAAGCAGACAAGCAGAAAGAUCACCUAACUAAACAGCUUCACAAACAUAGAUAUCUUCAACAACAAGUAAUGCGUUAGGAUACUGCGCUUGAUGGCCGUAUAGGGGGGUGGCUUGUAAACAGCAUCAGCAAAAUUUCUAAUGGUUGAAUCACUGAAGUUUUUGUUAACAUAUGGAAGAGGUAGCCGGCAAAACACUUCCUAUCAAAUAAGCAUGUUAGUCUAGCCAUGAAUAAAUAUUUUGUAGGAAAUGCACUUCAUCUUGAUGAGACAAUAGUACUUGUAUACUAACAAGGGAAGAAAAAUCACUAAUUUUUUCACCUGAGGCAUUAAAUUGUAAGGAAAUUAACCAUUUUUCUCAUCAAAUAUUUAUUUUUUAUGCAUUCCAGUUGCAUCACUAAGUACUAAAAACAAGAUAAGUACGAAUAAGCAAUAACCCAUCAAUUAUAAAAUAUGUGAUCUUUUGGACUUCGUAGUCCCCAAGAUGCAACAUGGCCAAUUUUUUUAUAAAAAUACUAGCAAAGAUUGAAACAAAUGGCCGAAAACACAUCUACUAAUACCAUUUCCAUUUAGCCAUUCUAAUACUUACAAAAAUAUUAGUGGUUAACCAUGUAAACAAGAUGUCCCAAACAUUACUAAUAAAAAUACAAAAUUAACCUUUUUCUACUUCAAGAGAAUAAUAAAACACUACUAAACAAUACAUUCCGGAACCUACCUAGCACUGUUAUUACAAGGACAAGCUGCUAAAGGGAGCUCUGAAAAUGAUUUAUUGCAAAGGAAAGUUAUGUCAUGCGUGCGCUCACCUCGAUGCUGCUAGUAGACUCAGCAUUCUGUCAUAAGCAAACAAAGUAUUCCUGUCAGCCACCUCAACCAUUACAAAUAUGGAUAAAAGGGUGUUUGGGAUGCAUUGUGAUAAUAUUUUCCAAGAAUAAAUCUCAAAAGGUAACUUAUUCUUGUUCGCUAUUAAUAUUCCAGGGAUCCAGAGAUGAAACAAAAACACACUUGAAAUGUAAUGGAGAAAUCAGCAUUGAAUUUUUAUUUAAUUCUAUACUAGAAAAUUUCACUCUUGCCUAUUUAUCAAAUUAGACCUGGAUAAACUGUCAGUAUUUAUUUCAUAUAUGAAAACAUGAAGUGACUGAUUUAGGGGGCAAAAAGGAUAGACCUCAUUUUGCAGGAGCCAAUCAGAAGGAUGCCUCCAGCAAAUUGCACUUCCUCGGUCAUCUUUUAGAUGAAUCACUGGCCAAGGUGCACAUUUCGUAUGUGCUGCAACUGUACAACGUCCACAGCGCCAAAAGAACAUUUUUUGCUUACAAAUAAUACAACCCUACUAGGAGACAGAAAGUUAAACUGAUGUGCAUAAUGAUCAUGUAACGUAACCAGUACAAGGACAGGAAUGCAUAAUUUCAAAAAAAAUGAAAUCCAUAAUUUCAAAAAAAAUGAAAUCCAUAAUUUCAAAAAAAAUGAAAUCCAUAAUUUCAAAAACAAAAUACAGGUUUAUGAUAAAAGAAAUUAUGAUGGAGAGGUGUAGGUUAUAAUAAAUAGAUGGAGAGGAGUAGGUUAUAAUGUGUUAUAAUCAAAGAAAUUUAAAUCAUUUUGGCAAUUAACAUUCUAUUCAGACCUCUCUGACUUGUAUACUUGGUAAAGUAUUACAUGUUAACUAAUGUGAAAUAGUGCAAACUGAAAAGCACCUCAUGCCAUAAAAUUGGAACUUACAUGUUGAGGGCACCUGAAGCUUUCAGUGGUGAAUUUUGAAGUAUCUUUCACAACACAAUUCAGAUGGAACAUCUCUUGACAGCGACUAACUGAACAUCUUACUUCUUCUCCAGCAUAGAUGAUCCUGGAGCAUAGACGGCAUUCGACCUUUGCACAAAUGAAGAAGGUAUGAGAUGCUAAGAUCUUGGGAGAUUAAUUCAGGAUUAAUGAGCUGUGGUUUCAAACUUUAACUGAUAGAGAGAUAUACUAAGUAUGAUGAGUUUUAUGUUGUGGAAUGAAAAUAAUAAGGAAUUCCGAGCUAGAAAUCCAGGCCCCAUACUCUAUAAAAUAAGGGCGGGGUUUGUAUCUAGAGAUAGUCUCCAUUAACAAAUUCAGGAUUUUGUGAUGUUUAAAAAAUUGUCAAAAAGAAAUUAUGUCUAUAUUACACAUAAAGUUAACUGUUAAUCUGCAAAUAAUAAAUGCCAAAUACACCCACGAUGUCGAGAAAACAAAACAGACAAGCAGUCAGUCUGGCAUUGUUCAUUCAUCCUGAGCUAACAGAGUACCUGUUUCUCUAUCAUGAUAUCAAAGAUGAAUUCAAUCUUGAAUUUAUGCAAGUUUCUUAACUCUGUGUACUACAUAAUGUUUCUUCAGAUAUGUUUAUAGAAAUGCAGCAUGUUGUAUUAAUAGCAUUUUUGCUAACUGGGAAGCUAUAACCCCUGGUAGCCAACUAAUUUCCCAUACAAAUUUAUACAUAUCAUAUUAUCCUUUUGGCUGUCCCUAGGUUUGAUCUUUUUCUUACCCCAGCUUGCUUGGGAUUGAAGCUGUUGUUAAACCACCAUAAUAUCUACUUUCCUUUUCAGAGUCUUACUCUUGGAUGCAAUUUUGAGCAUUAUAGAGCUGUAAAGUAUAAAUAUGAUAGCAUUUUAAUAACAAAUAUAAUAUAGCAUAUUUCGAUACUACCGACGUGCGUACUACAUAACUAAAAGUAUGUCACUGCUAAAGACUGCAAAGCUGAUUGCAAACUUUCAGAGUGUCUUAAGUCUCAGCAAGACUAGAGCGAAAUGUACAGAAAAGAACACAGUCAAAACCUAUGAGUUCUAUACCCAUCACUCAAGCGCAGGUACAGUUGCCGAAAUGCUUAAGAAUUUGAAUCGCGGAUUGACCUGAACUGCAAGAACGCAUUGCCAGUUGCAUUUUGCUUGAUCCGCCCAGACAUGGAGUCCGAGUUAAAUGCUAAUUUUAGUUUUAAGUAAGCUGAAUCAGACAUUGGUCCAACAACACGAAGCACUUGGAGCAAAAACCCUUACCGCCUUGGGCGCGCCGGUGAGGAAAGGCAGGACGCAGCGGCGGGCAGGGACGCCGGCACGCAUCCUCCGCGCCGCCCACUUGCCCACGUGCUCCUCGAGCGUCCGAGAGUCUCCGCGGCGGUGGCCGUCGGCGUCCCCGUCGGCGUCGAGGGACAUGUCUGCCAUGCCGACUGGACGGGAAGGAAGGGGCUGCGGUUGUUAGGGUUCGGAGCAAUUUGACAUUGGAACUGGGCGGAGACGCUGAAGCGGAGUGGACUACUAGAGUGUGCUGAAGCGAGAGGGGGGUUUCUGCCACAUAUUGCAACUCUUUUUUUUUUCAGGGGCCGUAAAUAUCUGCCAAUUUAACUUGGGCGCGUUCGUGACUGAGGGUGGACGCCGGAAGCUGAACGGUCCGGCUCCAGAUCCCGAACAGUGCAAUCAAACACUCGUGAAAUGAGCAACACACGUCUGAAUUUUACCUUCUUUAUACCAAUUACAUCCUAUUUAGAAUGUUUAAAUUUUAGGUACAGUACUAACAUCAAAUAGCAGAGCAAAGACUUUUGAAAUUGAUGAAUUCUUGUUGUUAACGGCAAGAGUGAAUAUUGAAUUAGCAUUCUUUGUCCACUUGGUGAUUGAGAAAUUGAUCCCGUUUUAUUUAUAUUUUUUUGUUUCAUGCUUUUGCUUGGAGUUUUGGACACCAUUCGAAUAUUGAAAUAAUUCAAUCAGCAGUAUAAUCUUUUCUAAAAAAAGGCAGCAUAAUUAUAUCUGAUAGAAAAAAAUUUAACCCACCUAAAAAAUCACUAGACUCGGUGACUUAAGUAUAAAUCCCUACGAAAUGCAAUACUCGUGAAAUGAUCUUCUGCCAUGGUUACUCGAUGAUCCAAGAUAGGGGCAGCAUGCAAAAGUAGCCGUCAGAUCGGACGAUCGACGGUGCAGAUCGAGACGCGGUUCUCUCUGGACAGCCCAUCUUCUCCCCCUUCGCCGUAGGGUUUUUCUCCUCACUUUCUCUCACCAGAGCCGCCUCCCCCCACGCAGCCGCCGCACGGCGACGGCCGCCAUGAGAGCCCUCGUCUCCCUCUUCCGGAUCGCCCGCCGGCUUCCCGCCCCUCUCGCCGCCGCUAGGGCCCCAACACCGCUCCUCCUCCGGCACCUCCAUGGCGACGCCCCGCCGCCGCCGCCACCCCAGGACCCGCCGCCCUUCGUCUCCCGCAUCCUCCAAUCGGAGCCGAGCCUGACCCCGAGCGCCGAGGCGGAACCGGCACCCGACCCGUUCCUCGAUGAGUUCCUCGCGCGCUUCGUGGCCGCCUUCCGCCCGGAACUCGCGGCGGCCUUCCCCGACUACGACCGCGCCGUGCUCGACGAGAUGCUCCGCCUCGUCGCGGACGCCGUGGUGUGCCGCGUCACUGGGGCCGACCCGGGGCCUGACGCCGCCGAGCUCAGCGACGACCUCUGGGCGGCCGUGUGGAAGGUCAGCGCCUCGGUGCAGGAGGCUAUGCGCCGUGACCAGGUCCGCGCCGACCUCCGCCACUAUCUCCACUGCGACGAGGUCAAGGAGAUGACGCGGUUCGCCGUCGACGUCGGCAUCCGCGGCUCCAUGCUCCGGGAGUUCCGCUUCAAGUGGGCCCGCGAGAAGCUCGACGAGGUCGAGUUCUACCGCGGCCUCGAUGACAUGCGCGCCAAGGCCGAAGCCGCCGCCAACCCGGCCCCUGCGCCGGUGCGGAGGCUGACCGCUUUGCCGAAGAGGAAGGGGGAGGUGAAGUUCACGAUGUACGGGUUGGACAUGUCUGACCCGAAGUGGGCCGAGGUUGCGGAGCGGACGGCCGAGGCUGAGGCACAUUUUGUGCCUCAGGAAGCCAAGCCUGUAGAAGGGAAAGCGAAGAAGGCCGAGGAGCAGCUGCUGCGGGUCGACCCGAGGAGAGGAGAUCCGGUGCCUGCCAUGGAGGAGUGGAAGGAGGAUCUCCGGCCAAAGCGAGUUGACUGGAUGGCGCUGCUUGAGCGGGUUAAGGCACGCAAUGUUGAGUUGUACCUCAAGGUGAGAUCUUUGGUAAUCUUGAAAGCUUGUGUCCAUCAUUCUGCGAUGUUAGUUUAGUAGAUUUUUUGCAGGAUCCAGAUCUCCCAGUGAAAACACAUAGUUACAUAAGAAAUUGUUUGAAGCAGAGUUUUCAGUGAGAUAGUUGUGGACGAAGAGUGGAGCUAACUUUUAUUAUCAUAGGGCAUACGAAUCAAUUAUCACGGGCAUAAUCAUAUAACAAUAUCUGUACCUGGACCACCAUAUCAAGGACUAUAUAUGCAUUACAAAAUUAGAACGCAGUUCGAAUUUAUUUCAUUUCUUAGAGAAAAGGACAUUGCAUCAACUAUAUUUGAGGGACAUAGGGACUUAAGGUGUAGUCCCUCCAUCCAGAUAUCAUAGGCGUGUUUUCCCUCAGCACUGGUACCAAUUCUUCGCUUAAACUAUAAACUGACUCAAACACCCCUAUUUAGUUCCUUAAGUAACCUUUAAUAUAUUGCCAUGCUGCCUCAGUGCUAGCUGGCUGCUCUAUGCAGCAUGCACAUUUAAGCAUAGAGGAGUAGUGACCAAGAGCGCAAGAAUUUGCAUGGAGUAGCACAACACGUCUGACAAGCAUGGAUAAUGGCUUGAGAAAAAGACGCUCAAGAUAUAUGGAUGGAUGGAGUAUCUAGUGGGAACCCAUUUCGUCCUUUGAAGUUUGAACCUAGUGAAACUAAACCUAUUUAGUCUGAAAUUUCUGAAGUUAUCUGUGGACUUACUGGAAUUGGAUGCUACAUUGCACUGUAACAUUUCAUGCCAAAUUUGAUUGCGCUUGAUUGAAGCAGAAUGACAAAGUUGAGGUCUGCAUAAUGAUUUAUGUUGUUCUCUAAUGCUCCAUUGAGCUGCUGCUGCUACUUAUCAUGUCUACCAGAUGCAAUCAAGUUUGGUCAUGAAUUUUUGGGGAUCAUUAUUCCCAUUCACCUACAUACCACGAUAUAACACUAGAGCUUUUGAAGACUUCUAUGUUCACGCAAUUUACUCUCCUAGAAGGUGAUUAUCAUUUGGUAAAAACUUGGCAGCAGUUCAUGUUAAUCCUUCAGUAACUUGAUAGACUCAAACACAUUGGGUAAUUUGAUAUCUUCACUCACUCGCAUGCACAAAAAAUGUUUGAGUCAGGCAUAGGCAUUUAAAUAUGUGAUUACAUUUAAUCCCAAGGUUCUUAGCAAUAGUUAGAUAUGUUACAUCAAUUUUGCAGUUGCCUUUAAAAAAGUCAUCACACCACUUCAAUUUCUUUAACAUAUGUUCCAUGUUUGAAUUUACAGGUUGCUGAAAUUCUGUUAGCUGAAGAAUCUUUCGAGGCAAACAUCCGAGAUUACUCAAAGUUAAUUGAUCUUCAUGCUAAAGCAAAUCAUGUGGAAGGUGCUGAGAUAAUACUUGGUAAAAUGAAAGAGAAAGGUGUUGCACCUGAUAUCCUCACAUCUAUCACGUUAGUCCACAUGUAUAGCAAGGCAGGCAAUCUAGAUCGAGCCAAGGAGGCUUUUGAGUUUAUUCGGAAUGAGGGUUUCAAACCAGAUCUGAAACUCUUCAGUUCGAUGAUUAAAUGCUAUAUCAGUCAUGGAGAACCAGGACAAGCAGAUAAUUUGCUAAACACUAUGAAGGGCAUGGAUAUCAAAGCCACCAGAGAAAUGUACACGGAUGUGAUACGGGCAUAUGCUCAGCAAGGCAUGGUGGCUGCUGCCCAGAACGUUCAUAGGGCGAUGCACUUUGCCGGAAUUGAGUCUACGCCAGAGUUGUUCACAAUGAGUAUAGAAGCAUAUGGACGCAUUGGUGAUCCUGAGAAUGCCUGUCUCGUGUUUCAACACAUGAGGAGAUCUGGACACGAACCGGAUGAUAGUUCUAUUGCCGGUGUGGUGGCUGCGCACAUGAAGAAGAACCAAUUAGACCAGGCUUUGCUCUGGCUGCUGAGUUUAGAGAAGGAAGGACUUAAACCUGGUGUCAAGACGAACCUCGUGUUACUGGAUUGGCUAUCUAUGUUGCAGCUAGUUCCGGAGGCUGAACAGCUUGCGCGGAAGAUAAAACAGCUGGGAGAAGAACCCAUAGAAGUCCAUGUGUUCCUUGCUGAUAUGUAUGCAAAGUCACGCCAGGAAGAGAAAGCCCGCAGAUCCCUCAAGAUGUUGGAAGAGAAGAAGAAACUAUUGAAGGCUGAUCAGUUCGAGAGGAUUAUAAGAGGCCUUCUGGACGGUGGAUUCUCAGAGGAGGCCAAUAAAUACUACAAAAUGAUGAAAUCAUUUGGCUUUGAACCAUCAGAAACAAUCGAGGUUGGUGUUAAGGCCAGUUUAAGGAUGAGGGGUGGGCUUCGUCCCACUGGUAGGCAUUGAGGCUAGGGCUUGUAUGCUGGCAGUGAUCUGCUGGGCACGCAAGCAGGCAGUGAUUCUGGUCAGAGAACCUUGGAGGUAGCACUGACAACGGCACAACCAAAUUGACCAAACUUUCAAAUGUUGGAAAAUAGGUUGGCCGAAUUCUUUUUUUGUUAUCCAUCGUCUCGAGGCAUGAAAAUGCUUCCACAGAUUAUAAAGUUGAUAGGUGCUGGUCUCAUGAUUUUGUUGUUUGAAGCGAUCAGGAUUUGGACUUGUUUUUGGUGAUUGUAAUGCCUUUUCGGCUUCCAGACAGACAUACCAUGAUGUAAGUUAAUAAUAGUUGACCAGAAUUCACAACUGUGACUCAUUAUUCGGUAAUAUAUCCGCUCCAUUAUCCUCCCCCCCGGCGCACACGUUAGGUGACAUACUAAUAUGGGCCCUCUCGUCCCUUUUUUUGGUUUGUACCUGCAGGCCCGAUACAUGAUGGGCUAAAACAGAGGCAACAUUAGCUCGGGGACAUCGUUAAAUCGCGGCAAAGUCACAGGACAUAAAAAAGGUAGCUUUGCCAUUGCACACUCUUCAACCAUGGUAAUAUCCGCCGGACACUUAUACUCUAUGUUUUAGUCAAUUUUAAUUUCACGUUCGACCUCAAGAACCGUUCCCGCCAACCUUUAUCCUUUCUAUCGCUGACUCCCUCCCUCCCCCUGACUUCUUGCGCCGCCGCCGUCCCCUUCCCGACGCGCAGGCCCCCCACCGGCGGUUGUUCCGGGGCGCAGCCCCACCCCGCUGGGGGUCCGUUCCGGCGCGCCGGCCGCCCGCUGGAGGCCCCUCCCUGCGGGGGCGCAGAUUGCCUACUUCCGCGUCAACUACGCUGCCGUGGUCGCCUUCUCCCUCGCGGCCUCGCUCCUGGCGCACCCCUUCUCCCUCCUCAUCCUCCUCUUCCUCACCUCCGUGGCUUCGCUCAUCAUCUCCGGGCUGCUCGUCGGGGGUGCCAUCGUCGCCGCGCACGGCGCCUGCCACAUGCCAGCCUCUCCCUCGAUGAUCCGAGCGCUGCGUCCAAUGGCAGCACCACCAGCAGGCUGCUAUCCUUCCGCGCGUCGCUCGGAUCUGGGGUUUGACGAGGAAUUCAGUAGAGAUCUGGCCCUGUAGCUACAAAGAGCUUCUCGUUCCUGUGGUACUUAACUGUGAGUAGCUAUGGAUAUGCAUAUCUGAUUUUGGUUCUAAAUUGUGUCUCGAAUAAUGCAAAGAUCUUGCGAUGUGUGGAUCUGGCAUUGUUGUUUGAAAUAUUGAUUAAGGGGUAAGGGUAGUUCUGUCCAAAAAUCAUGUUUGGAUACCUGUUCGAUUGAGAAUGUUAUUAUAAAAGCUACAGUGUCCAGCAGCGUAAGCAUCGGCCUUCGCUUCAGCUUAUAAGCCGGCUGAAAAGCUGAAACAGCUAAUUUGUUGUGAGAGGAAAAUACUGUUUGGUGACUGAUAAGCCGACUGGAUAAGCUGAAGCGAACAGGCUAUGGUUGAAUGGUGGGUUCCGGUAAAGCCGCUCUUUUUUAUUGGUCUGUGGUAAAAGCCACGGUUGAACUGCGGUUUUGAAGUUUAGUUCCUAUCGCAUCAAAUGUUUAAAAACAAAACUAAUUAUACAGAUGGAUGCUAAUUCGCGAGAGUCAUGAUUAAUACAUAUUCACUGCAGUAUCACAUUGUCAAAUCACGGACUAAUUAGGCUUAAUAGAUUCAUCUCGUGAAUUAGUCUCUAUCUGUACAAUUGGUUUUAUAAUUAGCUCAUAUUUAAUCUUCCUAAUUAGUAUUUAAGCAUUUGAUGUGAUAGAACCCAACUUUAGUCCGUGGAGCCAAACAUCCCAUCCAUCCAAUGCAACUUUAGUCCGUGAAACUAAACAUACCAUCAAACAGUUUGAUGCACUGUAUGGGCUUUGGAUUGCGCACUUAAAGCCCAAGGUCUGGAAGGUGGCCCACUAACCAGCCCACACCGCUGGCGUCGCGAGGCACCGAGGCACGCGAACCCGGCCGUCUUCCGCGCCGGCGACCAUGAGCCGUGCCACCCGCAGUCGCCAGAGCCCUCGACACCGGGGAGUCGGGGAUCCCCUCCCCCGGUUCGCCGUCGCCGCGUCCGCACCGUUUCGAUCGAUUACUGCAUGGCGCCAUCCCUCCCCGCCUUCGACUUCUCCUGCAGCCCCUGCACCCUUCCACGCUGCGCUCCCCCUCGUCCUCUUCCUCUCCCGACGGAAACCUGUCUCGCGCUGAAGUGAACUCGUUGCUCCAGUGGAACGCAGGGGGGGGCAGGUGCCGGUGAUCAGGAUCUACAAAUACGGCUCCACCCCUGCGAGCCAGAAGCUGACUUGCCUCCACAUCCCCCCCGGGUGCGUGCCAGCAAGUUAUCUGUGAACGUGCUUGUCUGUCUGCAUUUUCCUUUGUUCAAACUUCAGAGCCUUCCGGUGCUUGUCCGGCAUCAUAAGGCACGUGCACAGCUCGGACAUGCGGUUCUGUUGUUUGCAUUUGAAUUUGGUAUUUGGAAGGAACUUGCUUAGCACACCAAAGUGGACUGUCUGGGAUGCUGUUGCUUGUGUCGAUCAGGAGUUUGAGGUUAUUCAGUUUGUUCAUAUCGAUUGGUGAUUUGUUCAUUCUUUUCGUAACUUUGCACUUGCUUGUACCCAUUGGUUUCUUACUAGAACUGUAGUUGAAUUUUACCCAUUUAGCUAGUGCUGCCUCUUGAAAUAGUAAUGCAAAUGAAUCUCUCUGAAAUACUUUGCUCUUUGAGACACUAGUUGAGCUUAAGAUUUCCAGCUCAGUACCCAUGUUCUCUGCCCUGGUAAAAUUUUCACCGAGUGAUCUGGGCUGAAAUUUAGGCUGAUCUUUAGUUUUUUUUUAAAUAAACAUGUCUUUGCUUUUAUUUUCCCAUCAUGUCCAUGCUUUAGUUUCUUUAUAAUAUUUCACAACUGUUAUGUGUUUCUAUUUUCCUUUGCAGUCAGAUUUUCUUGAAUGUAGAUAUGCAAACAAUGAUUUGUAUGUGGUUAUAUUGUUCUCACUUCAUGUACUUGGAAUCUCUGAUGUGUGAAAUUACUUCAUUUGUCCACCUACAUUUUCCCUGUGAUUUUAUCUCAAGCUAUUUCAUCAGUCCCUGAUUGUCUCAACUAGUUUGUAAAUAUCUACUCUCUCUUUGGUGUUUAGGUCCUGCAAUAUUUGUAUAUAUCGUGUCCCAAGGAGCUGCUCUAUAAUCUAGAAUAAGGUGAUUUUAGCUUCUAACAUAUGUACCCUGGUACAGAUUGGAUAUCACUUAUGCUUUUUAAUGUUUUUAUUUUUGGUGCCACUUGUAUAUUCUUCUUUUGUUCUACAUGGUGUUUGUAAAUUUAUUAGACAGGCUACCUGAUACAAUUCUAUCCAUGUGCACGCAAAUUCUUUUUGGGAGUUUCUUAUUGCCUUGUAUUGAGCUUUUAAGCGGUGUUUGUUGAUUUUUUAUAAACAUGAUUUGUAACAGAAGGGAUCACUUCUUCUGGUGUUUAAAUAUUAGUAACUUGAAUUUACAACAUACUCCCUUUGUUCUAAAUUACCAUUCGUUUUGGCUUUUCUAGAUGCAUAACUUUUGCUAUGUAUCUAGACAUAAUCUAGGUACAUAACAAAAGCUAUGUACCUAAAAAAGCCAAAGUGAAUAGUAAUUUGGGAUGGAGGGAGUAGUUAGUUGUCAAAGCCUCAGAGGUAGACUAGACAUUACUGUCGACAUGGCCUGGCUGCCUAUAAAGCACCUGCUAAUUGUUUAUUGGCAAAAGAGCAACCAUGUCUAGCAUCAAUUGCGCUUGUGAUCAUGCCAGUAAUCUUUUGUGAGCAGAUGUACUCAUGUGAUCCGAAAUUCCAAAUGCAUACACUCAACUUUAACCGUAAGAAACCAUUUUGUCCUGACUCCUGAUGCAAUGCAGAAAAUGGGCAGGGUCCCUAGCACUUUAAAGGAACACACACGCACACAUUCGCUCACCUGGGCUUGUUGGGCUGCACAGUCUAAUGUGCCACAUCUUGCAUUUGCUGAUGUUUGGGUGGAGCAGAUAGAUGGGGAGUCCUAUUUGCUUAAGUUUCCCGAUUCAAUUUCAUAAUUGGAGACCUAUACUUUAGAUGGGGAUUCAGGGUUUCUUCAUUUUUUUCAUAGGGGCUAAAGUAGCUGUAUGUUUGGAUUUGCAGUGUGCAGCAUGGAUGCCUUGAGCAAGCUCGUAGUGAGAUUUCACUUCAACGGGGAGUUCAUAAAUGAUGGCAUGAAAGUGCAUUAUGUUGGUGGAAGGGAUGCAAUGUCAUAUAUAAAUCGUGAUAAGGUAUCUUUGGCAGCAAUUGUUGGGCAUCUGCGGGACCACUGCACGGUUGAAGAUGGUGCAUUGGUGCAUUGGCUAUUCCCAGGGAAAGAACUAUAUGAUGGACUUCGUGUACUCACGGAUGAUAAGACAUGUUUGCAGAUGGCUGAUGCUAUUAUGGAAGGAGAGGUGGCAGAGAUCUAUGUUGAGGCGGCAGCAGCAACAGAUGGAUCAAAUGAUGAAGGUGGUCAAGGAAGUGGAUUUGAGAAUGAGCAGGCAAUGGUUUAUGUAGAUUCUGCUGAUGAGGAAGGUGGCCAUGGUGAUGUAGAAGGAGAUGAUCAAGGUGAUUCAGAUGAUGAUGACGUAGCUGGGGAAGAUGCAGUAAUUUUGAUAUCUGCAAAACCAGACUCCAGGGAAGUUGCGGAGAGGCAGAUCAAGAAGCUUAAGGAGUUUCACAGGAGCCCAAGUAAGAAAGGGAAGGAUGCACAAGUGAAGAAAGAUAAAGGAAAACAAGAAGAGGAGAAGCAGGAUGAAGAUGAGCAUUCUAGCUCAGAUAGUGACUACAUGCGUGGAGAUGAUUCAUCUUCAGAAGCAGACAAUGAGGGUGUUGAUAUUCUGAGGAAAUUCAAGGACUUUAAGAAGGAUUUGAAAAGAGGACAUAUUGCCUCACUUGAUGAUGUUGUUCUGGAAGGGUCGACUGCUAUGCCAGCAGGUUUUGAAGGAAGCCAAGACGAUGGUAGUGAGACUGCAUAUGCUCAAAGCAGUGAUGAUGCAGACUCAAUGAAUGAUUUGGAUAGUGAUGGAGAGUUAAGUAGGAAGGACAACAGCUUUACAAGGUUCAAGGAGACUACAGGAACACCCAUAUUUGCUUUGGGCAUGUUGUUUAAAAGCAAGAAGCAAUUCAAGAAAGCCAUUAUCAGGUAUGGUCUGGCUGAGAGGAAAGUAAUCAAUUUCAUCAAGAAUGAACCAAAAAGGGUUAGGGCAAAAUGUGAUUGGAAGGCUUGCCCUUGGGUCUGCCUUCUUUCAAUCAACUCUAGGACUGAAAGUUGGCAGAUAGUGACCUUCAAUGACUACCAUACAUGCCCCCCUAGAAGAGAUAAUAGGCUUGUUACUGCAAGAAGGAUAGCUGAGAAGUACGAGAAGUUUAUAAUGGCAAAUCCAACUUGGAAAUUUGUAAGCAUGAAGCAGACUGUCCAAGAGGAGAUGUUUGCAGAUGUUUCUAUCUCUAAAUUGAAGAAAGCAAAGGCCAUGGUCAUGCAGAAAGCCUUCGAUGCUACAAAAGGUCAGUACGAGUUGUUGUAUGAUUACCAGUUAGAGCUUCUGAGAAGUAACCCAGGGAGUACAGUCAUAGUGACGAAAGAGCCAGGUGUGGAGCCACCCACCUUUCAAAGGAUGUACAUCUGUCUUGAUGCAUUGAAGAAGGGAUUUCUUGCUGGUUGUAGAAGAGUAGUAGGUUUUGAGGGUUGUUUCUUUAAGGGAGCCACUAACGGGGAGUUGCUAUGUGCUAUAGGGAGAGAUGCCAAUAACCAAAUGUAUCCAAUUGCAUGGGCAGUGGUGGAAAAGGAGACAAAUGAUUCAUGGGGUUGGUUUUGUGACCUUUUGUUCAAGGACCUAGGUGUUGGUGAUGGGACUGAUUGGGUCUUCAUAUCUGACCAAAAAAAGGGAAUUCUAAAAGCAGUCAGCUAUUGGGCUCCUCAAGCUGAGCAUAGGAACUGCGCUAGGCACAUCUAUGCAAAUUGGAAGCAGCACUUCAGUGACAAGGAGUGGCAGAAGAAGUUCUGGAGAUGUGCCAAGGCUCCUUGCAUUAUGCUGUUUAACCGUGCUAGAGAAAGGCUGGCAGGUGAGACUAGAGAAGGAGCUCAAGCUAUACUCAACACUCGCCCUCAACACUGGUCAAGGGCUUGGUUCAGGUUGGGGUCUAACUGUGACUCUGUAGACAACAACUUAUGUGGGUCCUUCAAUAAGUGGAUAGUUGAGGCUCGGUUUUUUCCUGUCAUCACCAUGCUGGAAACCAUCAGAAGGAAGGUUAUGGCUAGGAUUCAUGACAACAGGACCAAGUCAGAGAGUUGGGUCACCAAGAUCUGCCCCAAUAUUUUGAAGAAAUUGAAUGUCUACAUCACUCAGUCAGGCAAGUGCCAUGCAAUUUGUAAUGGGGCAUCAAACUUUGAAGUGAUGCAUUUUGACACCAGGUUCACAGUUGAUCUAGAGAAGGAGUGUUUAUGUAGAUAUUGGCAGCUGUCAGGAUUGCCUUGUCCUCAUGCUAUUUCAUGCAUUCUUUUGAAGACCAAUAGCCUGGAUGAAUACGUUGCGAGUUGUUAUUCAGUUGAAUCAUUCAAGAACACAUAUGAACAUUGCCUUCAACCUAUUGAGGAUAUGACCAACUGGCCGGUUUCUGAUAGAGUCAAGCUCAAAGCUCCAGACUAUGUCUGGAUGCCUGGAAGGCCUAAGACAGAGAGAAGGGAUCCAACAGAGGCACCCAAGGGCACAAAGCUGUCAAGGGUUGGUACUGUCAUCAGAUGCACAAAGUGCAAACAGACCGGUCACAACAGAUCCACAUGUGAGAAAAGGAAUGCAGCUGCUUCUUCUGGUACUGCUGGUGUUCAAUCCGCUGCUAGUCCAAAUGCAAUGGCUGUGGUGUCCAACACUCAACAAAGUUGUACAUCCUCAAGGAAAAGGAAGGCACCGGCCGGCAGCAGCCAUGGAGCACCAGUUAAGGUAAUAUCAUAUCCCAAAAAAAAUUUCAGAACCUCAAAGUUUUUGCAUUAUCUAACAGCUCUUUCCACCAGAAUGUGACCAAGACAAGCGCAAGUGCUAGGGUGUCAACUAUUCAGGGUGGCUCAGCUACUGGGAAAGCCGGUGCUCAUGUCUCCGCUAGUGCAACAAAGAUCACAAGGCCUGAUCCAAAGCAAGGGCCAAUGCUUCUACUCCCUCCGUGGGAGUCAGCAAAGCUGUGAUGUCAUACUGAACUUGUGCUUCGAGAAAUUGAAUUUGCGUAGUGUUGCCAGACUGUUGUGGCAUGUCAAGUCCUGUUGAACAAUUUCAAUCCCAUGUUGUGUUGCCAGACUGCUAAUGGCAUGUUAAGUUGUGUCGAACUGUAGUGCUUGUCAUGUGAAACUUGGCUUCUAUGUAGGGAAUCUUGUUGGCAUCUAUGUGCGUGAUUUAUCUGUGUUUCCUACAUCUGAGAAUGAAUGUCUGGGUGCAGGCGAGCAGGCGUGAACCCAGUGCCCACGGGCGACGCGCGUCCCUGUGAUGAGUCUGUUUGGUUGUUCUUUUCGGGUGUCGACAACUAAAGAGCAAUAGCCUCGGCGCAGCAGUGCUCCGCUCUCCUACCGAACAGCAUCAACGACUGCUUGACUGCAGCCAAGAAACAGGGACGCGCACGAUCUGUGUUUUGUGCGACACGUGCGAAAUCAAGAUAACAGAAACAGAUAAAAAAAACAUCUAUAGCCUGAGGGUCUUCUGAUUCACAACACUCAAAACAACCAGACAAGUCUAUCAGAUAUAUAGGGUGCCCCAGGCAAGCCGUCAACGGCCGAGUACAACAUCCAGAAUACAAGGGUGCAAUCUGCAGUGUAACGUUUCACAAUUUUACAAGGAACACCGCCCAAUACACUCACUGGACACCCAUUACCACGCAUGCUUGAUUGUUGGUGGCAAGGUACCGGACCAAACAACAGUCGCGCUACCGCUGAGACAGCUUCUUCAGGUGUUGGAACAACUUUUGCUUUAUCCACUGUCGAUCAUAUGGCAGAAAUGCCUGGAUCGAGUGAUCAAAACUGCAAAAGUUAAAAUAGCAAGUCGUUAGGUUUCUUUUAACUUUGAGCAUAAAAUGCUUCAAGUGACUUAAAAAAUCUUAAAAAAGCUCUUGUACUCACACUAGUGCACUUAUGUCAGCUAGGCCAUCAAUGAAGUUAUAAAGGUCGCUGAUAUCAUAGGUUAUGUUUGGGACCAUUGGGUUGAUAUCCCUAAUUUUCCUUUCAUAAAGCCCACAGAUUCCUGCCAUUUCAGUAAAGUGGUAUUAAGUAAUUCAUGAACUUUUAGAAGGCAAAUAAAUCAAGAAGAAUCACUGAGAAAGUGCAAAUCUGAUUUUAGAGGGGUAUAAGAUCAUAAGAUGGAUCUGUGCCAAACUAGCCCAUUGGUGGGGAUGGGGGGUUGUAUCAGGCCAGUGAACAAAAGUGUGAAGAAAGAUGAUUAGAUCCAUGAAUGUCUAAGGCACCAUGGAAUAGAAAUUAUUACUAUAAUGUUUCUAAUAUUUAGAUAUCACUGCAACUUUUUUUCUGAUCAUGACAAAUCAGUGCUGCUGCAGAUGCAAAUCAGAAAACCAAAUUCAUACAGCUGUAGAAUCACAUGAAAACCACCAGGGUGAUACAGAUAGAGUUAAAUAAAUUUUUCCAUUGAAUUUUUCAGCAGCAGAUCCUUUUCCAAAUCAUACGUACCAUCCAAUGCAUGAUUAAUUGAAUUAUAGUCCAUAAAUGUCCUUGAUGCCCUAUUUUGGGAUGGCUGCAUCAAAAUAAUGGUGUGUCUCCCAGCCUGUAUAGAGCAAUCAAUCAGAUCCACAUCAACAUGUGCCAGUACUUCCAGAGUGCAAAGCAUUGGAUAUACAUGGAUGCUAAGAAAUUACCGACAUACUCAUGCCCCAUGCCCACUAGCCUUAGACAGUUUCCUAAUAGAGAAAUAUUUUCUGUGGCAGCUCCUAUACUAUUAGAGUAUUCAUAAAAGGUACCAUAUCACAAAAGCGAAGAUUUGCUAGACAACCCAUCUAUUAAUAAAGGCCCAAUAAAGACAUAUUUUAUUCCCUAGAAUGAUUCCUUUGCUUCAAGCAGUAAUAAUAAAAUUGAUCUAGUCAUCAUCAAGUUGGCUUUGGACAGGAUCCGCCGUAUGGCAUCCAAAAACUUCUGAGACACCAAUACUCUGGGAAUAAAGCAAACUCAACCCAACACAGUGACUAGCAAUAUCAAAUAGUAUUCUUGACUCUUGUACUUUUGCAUGCAAACUAUGCAGCUUUCUUUCACAAUUCUAUAAUGCAUAAUAUUUAGACUAUAAUUUCAGGGGAGAUAUCUUUAUAUUUUUUGCUUCUUCAUGAUAAGAACAAUCCAGCAUCCAGAGCUGUGCCUGUAUGAUAUUUCCAUUUCCAGAGCACUGUUUAAAGGGUUACCUAAUAACCUAUACCCCUAGAUGCCCGUAGUGCACAUCUAAGUAAAGGAAAUAUGCUGUAGGAGAAAACAUAUACAGCAAAUAAUUUAUUAUGCUAUAUACUAGAAGCUCAAACAUGUCACCAAUCUAUGAACAAACAAUUCUUGAAACAUAUCAAAUAACACAAUAACCUAUGAGUAAAACAGUAAAAUUCGUUGAUAAAGCUAACUAACAGAGAGAUGCAGAAUAAAUUAUGAUCAUCACAUCCUUAUUUGAACCUUAAAAUGAUAAAACACUGGACAGGAUAAAAUCAGUGCCUGCAGAUGUAAAUAGGGAGCGCCUUGGUAUACAGAGUCCCACCAAACAUUCAUAAUAGACAAGAUUGCAAAAAUGCACGAUACUUCUUCAAUGAAAUGGCAAGCAGCUAUCUUGUGUGUUCGAGGUAAAAAAAAUCAUGAUGCCCAGUGCGCGGAGCUUGGGAUGAAACUCAGUACGGGCCAACACAACAUUGGGGGAGUAAUAUUAGAAAAUGCAGGCCAAAGGCAUUAUCAGAAACCUAGAUAGAGGUAUCCAUUUACCAGCGAUAAAUUAUAACUAAUCAUCAAUCAAGCUGCAGUCUCUGAGCUGACAGUGUGGCAAAUGCUGAGUAACUGGGCACACAUAGGUUUAUGGUAACGGAAAUGAAAUCAAAGGGAAUUAACAUAAUGACAUGGGGCAGGGUCAGUAGGGGCUGGGUUCAUACUAGUUUUUUUUUUCAUAGUCACGAAGCAUUAAGCACAUGAGGUUUUCAAAAACCACAUAUCACCCAUUGGUGAGAAACGCAACCAUUGUAGUUUUGGCAUCCAAAGCGCAGUUAGCAGAUAGCACAUUAUAGCAUAUCCUACUAUUUACAGCAAGUCCAUAACCUUAUAAAACCUACCAUGACAUAGAAGCAAAGUCUCCAAGUAUCAUGAUAAUGAGCUUAGAACAAAUAUUUUCGGUAGAAUGCAGAAGGGAAAAGUCUUCUGGGGAGAAGUAUGGAUCGGAAUGUUCACACCACGCUACAUAGAUAUCACCACAUUCUCAAAAUUCACAUUGAAUCACUGCCCAAGUCAACAAAAGAAACAAUAACAAUAGCAGAUUACUCGGCGAACCCCCACACAAGCCAUCAAAGAAACACAUCGAGCUACUUCGAUUCAGCUAACCAACAGACCGCUGGCGCCCGCGACAAGGGAAGCAAAGCAAACUGCAAAUAAUCUGCGAGCGUCGCGUCGUCACUGGCCAAUCCGGUGCCGACUUUUACGAUCCCAUCGGUCACAGGCUCAAAUCCUACCUCCAAUCGUACCCUGCCGCUACUAGGUCUGGAGCACGCGCGCUACGGGGUACCAAAACCCCGCCCCGCGGCUCGUCCCGAGAAUCCCAGAGCUGGAGAGGAUUGUACAGGGAAGCUCACCAUGGAGGUCGCGGGCGGGCGGGCGGGAGCUGGGGGAAGCGGCGAGAGUCGAGGAAGGAGGCGGCGAUUGGGGUAGGGAGGUAGGAGUCGAAUAGGUUUGCGCGUUCCUGCGUGGGGAAAGGGAAGUGGGGCCUUGUUUUGUGACGUGAUUAUUAAAAAUGGAAAAGAAGAACACAACGGCUUCUGUUGGAACUUGGAUACUUGUAUGAUGCCACGUUGGAUGCUUCGCAGGAACAUCGGACUAUCAGCAUGACAGUAGCCCGUGUAGAUGCAGCAGAGCAGUCGAUGUUUUACGGUGAACACGUAGAAACUAGAUCUCCCAUCUCAAAUUCUCAAUUGCCAGACAACCGGUGGUGGUAACUGGUAAGAGGACAAUUUCGUGAGCAACGAAAGAUGGUCAGGCUAGUAAUACCUGGUUAAAGCAGGGCGGGGAUAGAUUUGGUGGUGGCAGAAACUGUUUAUAUGGAAGCAUGCAAUGUGAUCGGAGGUUGAAGAAAUUAUUACUCCAUCGUCCGUGCUAAAUUAUAGGUUAUUUUCGGAUCGUCCCAAACUAUAUAUACAUAUUAAGGGUCAUAUUUUUACCGAACCUUAGGGUGAGCAGAACAUUUGACCACACCACAAGCACAUUCUGAUUUUUUAGAAAGAAAUGAAGGUGAAGUAGGUAAGGGACACUUAGCUCGUAUCUAGUGAAACCUGGUUAAUGCUCUUUCUAGAUUAUAUAACUUGGAAAGGUAGUCAUGGGUACUAUGAUAAAUGACCAUUCUAGGGACCACAAAUAAUCUAAAGGUGAUCCUAGGAUGUUCUUUUAACCUAGUACUCUUGACCAUAAUCCAGCUUAUAUAAUUUAGGCUAAAUAUUGAAAACCUCAUAAAAAUUAUAUCUAAGUUUUCAAUAUAGUUCAUGUCACAUUAACAAAACACAAUUUCAAGGCCGAACUACAUCCUGCUUGUGAGAUAAAAAAAAAAUCACGAAUGUCGGAUAUAAGUACAAAAAUUAUAAUUUAUUCAUUUGUACUUCUAAGCCUUGGAUUUAUCACUUGUGCAUCUCUCAUUUGCUAUGGAGUUUGGACUAGAGAUUUUUUAUGCCAUCGUAUCAUAACAUCAUCUAUAGAUGGUGAGUUUUUCACGACAUGAUUUUCUUUUAGUUUCAAGUUGCAAACACUUAUGGUUUUCACAUAAUAUGAUCCCAACUAUACAAAUAUAAAACGGACUAAUCGCAUUGUUCGCGAGGAUGCAGAUGCACGAACAGAACAUGUAAACUUUUUCAGCGCGUUCGGCAGCGCGUUAAGCCGCUGCUGCGGCUGCUGGCUGCCGCAGCCGGUGCUGUAGCGCUGCAGCUGCUGCUGCUGCCGCCGCUAAGCGCCUGGUAGUAACGGCCGUUUGGCCCGCCGGGUGUGCGUGCUAAUGGGCCGUUUGGGCCACAUUAGUUGCAAGGUUAAAUUUAGUCCGGUUGCAACUCAAAUUUAUGCAGGAAACCAAUGAAGCAAACCGAAUUUGCGUACUCUAUUUUACAAAAUGAAAUAAUUAAAAUGUGUGGGACUACAAAUAAUAAUAGAAUUGUUCAUACUUGUAAAAUAUAAGGUUGUUAAAAAACAGAAAUUAAAUUGUUCCUGUACCGAAACAAGCGAGAGAGCGGUAACGACUUAUCCUUACCAAUUUCCAAAGUGGUUUCCGUACUGAUACGCUACUACGUUCGAAAAUAAAUUUUGUAGCGGUUAAUGCAACUACAGUAUCUAAAUGGUGCGCGCCAAACAUAACAAACACACUCAAGCUUACGAACGUACACACAACAUAUUACAAAUUCGUACAUACAAAUUACAACAUGAUUUACACACAUACAUCCCGCGUCUACAUCAACGAGAUGCCCGCAGCAAUCCAAUCUCGGACACUGCCCAUAUCAGGUGUAGCAUUAGCUGCCACCCAUUCGGACACCGCAUAGUCCGGUUCUCGCGCCCUGGACGAUCCUGCCGAACUGUCAUUGCCAACGUCCAACAAAUAAUUAUGCAGUGCAAAGCAAGCAAUAACAAUCUUGGUUUGUCGUUCUCUCGAAUAUAGUGGCACUUCCCGCAGAAUGUGCCACCUCGAUUUCAGGACACCGAAGGCGCGUUCCACCACAUUUCGAAGGUUGGAAUGGUGAAAAUUAAAUUUCUCCUCCAAAGUGUCGGCCUCCCUUCUGCUAAACUCCUCGAGGUGAUACCUGGUAUUUCUAUACGGGCCCAGAUACCCUUCGCGAACGGCGUACCCCGAGUCGACCAAAUAAUAGCGGCCUGCAGGUAAUCACAACAAAUCAACAUUAGUGCACCACAUUUUCUUGAUUAAUCUACAUGUGCCACUCUUAUAAGUCACAUACCUGCAGGUGGAUGUGGGUACGUCCGUGCCGACAUACAGUCACGCAAUACCGCCAUGUCGUGACAUGAGCCUGCCAUGCCAGCUCCUACGUACGUGAAACGCAUGUCCAUAUCGCAUAUGGCUAGCACGUUGAAGCUUGUGAAUCCUUUUCUGUUUAGGAAAUCCAAACGGGACUCACGGCCGACAAUUACUGGAAUGUGCGUACCGUCAAGCGCACCUAUGCAUCCAUCAAAGAACGGUGCAUAUUGGGUCAGCUUGUGAUUGACCGUCGAGUACGCUCUAUCCUUUGGAGCGAUGACUUGCUGGGCAAACGAAUACAUUACAUUCGCCACAUGCGCCAUCUUCCUACUCACCGUGUCCAGACUCCGGUCAAACCUUUCUCUAAUCUGCCGGCACGCUUGCUGUGUCGCACAUGCCCACACAAACAUAGCUAACGCCUCAACGGAUUCUACCCCUUGCGACGUUGUCAACCCAUGGUUGCUAACCAACACGUCGUGCAAGUGAAGGAACGUGUCGGGAUACAUACGAAAAUUGUCGUAGCACCACCUCCUGUCCCGGAGGUUCAGCUCCACCCACUGCCGACCCGUCAGGCGUGGCAGCUCAACUGGCAAGUCGACAGGUCGGUUCCGUCUAGCACGAUUUAUGCUGCGAAGCUCGUCAUAUGCGGCUGCAGCUCCUCCUAAACAUCUCAUAUCAAACACGGAGCUGUUGUCGCUGCCGGUGUCACUGUUGUGUUCCUCUGGAGCACUCAUACUUGAAAUACCUGUCCAAAAUGAAAACACAGCUUAUAAGACAAGGUGAACAACGUUAUGUAUACCGAGAGCAGGUAGAACUAGUUUGCACAAAAAAUUGAACGUAACGUAACUUCAAAGUAACUUAGCAACAUAACUUAUACGUGCAACUGAACAGAUGCAACUAACUAAUACAAUUGGUGGACAUUCAGAUACACCAGAACAUAAACAACCACUAACAUACCAGAGAAAGGUUCAACGAUUAUUAACUUAAAAAAUGUUCAAGUCAGCGCACAUAGAAAGGUUCAACCUCAUCUAAAAAUUACAGAAGCUACAUUCAAUGUUCAACACAACACAAGUGCAACUAAGCUAAGAAAGAACCAGGCCACCAUCACUUCUUCUGCAUCAUGUUCCAGUAGAAAUUGAUCCAACUCAAUCGGGCAUCUUUUGUGUCUAACCCUAAGAACGUGGACCGACAAUCCGAACUCUGCCCACAACAAUACAUGACCUGGUUGUGAAGCUCCGACCCCUGCUCUAUACCAUCUUCUUUUAGGAUCUGAAGACAACGAUUUGUUUGUUCAUGGGCACUCGGCGCACGUAGCAGGCUCCGCUUGGCCACACUAUCAGAUAGGUCCCUAAUGUACUGCUCCAAGGUGUCACUUCUUUUUUUGGUGGGACUGUCCACUGAGUAUUCUCGGACCGGCCUUUUUGACUUGGCACGAGCACUGAAACGAGCACUAGUAGCAGGGGCCUGCUCGUCCUCCAAGUCCACGAAAUUGCCCUCAGUCCCCAUGCUAGGUGUGCCCCCCAUGCUAGGUGUGCCCUCCCGAAUCCCUCCGGCCGAAAGCAAUGUGCCCCUGUCUUGUGGUUCGUGGCCAAACAACUCGAACAGCAGGUCCAGCAAAGGUGGAGGCUUCACAGAAUGCGGCUGUGACCUCGCCUGGGUGUCCUGCAAAGUCCCAUAAAAGUAAAAUAUCAGCAUUGGAAAUGUAAUAAAUUACAAGUAUGACGAUCAGUAAGUUAGGGACGACGGAAAGUCCCUACCUGUUGGUCCUGCUCCCAAUACGUGGCAUCAGCCGACACCCCACCAGUUUGUGUGUCGCGCCCUAAACCAGUCGAGGUUUCCAAUGCCCGCCAGCCGAAGAAUUGCCUCCUCAAGUUGUUGAGCUUGUUCUGCAGCUGCUUCACUCCCAGUUGCAAUCCAGUUGCUGCCCUGAACCUGGAGUGGACAUUCCUCCAUCCCAACUUAGUGAGGCAUCUGUCGCUCCAGUUUAGCUGGUUCUUUUGUUCAAUGCACAUCUCCAGCAAAAUUUUUGUCGUGGGCUCAUCCCAGCUGGCACGGAUACUCAUCUGACCACACAGUAGCUGCAAUUAUAUGGCACCGAUCUAUGGACAACUACGACCUACGUACACAACUAAGCAAUGGAAAAUGAAGAAUUUGUUACUUGCCUUAGCAGGUGCUUUGUGGCGUUUGUGACGAAAAUUGUACGGGCACACGGGGGGAGGAGAGCAGGACCCAGUCGAUGACGAUGCCAGUGUGGGCACCUUUGAAUGUGCCUCAGAUUUGUGGUCCUUGCACCCUUCCUCCUCAAGCCUGAAAGGUUAAAAAAAAAUCAGAAGGGCAGAUUACACAUAUAUGGGUCUAAGUACAAGCUAAACAUGUAGGACAGAAUAUGCUCUACUGCCACAACAAUACUUGAAAUAAUUGUUACAGAUUAGCAAUCUUAUAGUAUGGAAUAUUGGAAUAUGCUCAAGUCAUGAUAAUUUAUUUCAGAACACAAGCAGUUAUAAGUCUAGGCUGUAUUUGUUAUAGGGUAAGUGUAGCCGUCUUCAAGGUUCAACAAUGAUGAUUUGAUUAAAUCAAAAGGUAAGCAAAGAUUCUUUGAUGAAGCAGAUCUAGAAAAUUAAAAAAAUAAGGCACAAAAUCAUCACAAUAAGGUGGCUACCGACCUGCAGUUGAAGAAAAAAAAUGGAGACACCAAAAGUCUAAAACGAACCAGCUGUGUAGACUGAGUGAAAACAAGCAAUGGGAUUGGACCAAAUGCUGGGUCUACAAUUAGCAUUUGAAUGUGCAGCUAUGAAAAAUGCAUGUGGAAGACGUAUUUGUACUGAUUAAAUGUGCCUUGCACAUCUAGGAUGCAUAAAGAUAUGGCAUAGCAAUAAAUUCAGGAGACAAAGAGAAAUCUAGCAGAGGUAAAUCUAGUGAAAACUAGAAUCAGUAAUUCUGGAUAAAGGACAGAACCUAACACUUCAUGGAGAAAGGCAUCAGAACAACGGACUUUAGCCCUGAACUGAAAUAAACACAUAUUGACACUUCUUGGUUGAAGGUAAUUCAGGUUAUCUAUCAAAUUUAUCCACAUUUCAUCCAUCAUUUAGAUGGCUGCCCCUUUGAUUUCAUACAAUUGUCACAAAAAAAAUGUGCACUCCAAUCGCCAUAAUGACCUACAGCUUCAGUCUGCCUCUCACAUACUUGUAAAAAUCAGGAAGUGUAACUUAUGAGGACCUUUUUUGUUUACCUGACAUUCCUGGAGCUAACAAGUAAGUAAUGUCUACUUGAACUAAGUGUUGAAGACAUUGUCAAUUCAUACUGCAUAUAUACUUAUGUCAGCAAACUAUGAAGUAAUCUAGUAUGUCACACAAAGUAUAUGCCUCACAAACCAGGGGAUAAAUUAAAUCAAACCAUUCAAGCUAUAAACUGAUAUUUCACUUGCAGAUACGCUAGAUGUAAGGAACAACCCAUGAAAUAACCUCAAUCCUAGUUGAGGCCUUCCUUUUAUCACAAUGGGCAACAAUACGCAAUAAGGUAUGUACUUGACCAGAUCAUGUAUGUAGUGAAAUGUGUAACAGAUUUCAUUCAUUCACUAGGGGCUCAGGGGAUGCGGUACCUGUGAGCGGAGGUGAUGCAGGGGGCGACGGCGCGGGAGAGGGUCCGUCCACCCGACGGCCCACCGGCGGCGGCAGCGCUUGGGCCGGCUCGGAGCCGCGGCGGCGGAUCCGGAGGGACGGGCGGCGGCGGCUCCGGACGGCCCACCGGCGGCGGCAGCGCGUGCGCCGGCUCGGAGCCGCGGCGGCGGAUCCGGAGGGACGGGCGGCGGCGGAUCCGGACGGCCCACCGGCGGCGGCAGCGCGUGCGCCGGCUCGGAGCCGCGGCGGCGGAUCCGGAGGGACGGCCGGCGGCGGAUCCGGACGGAGGGACGGAGGGGGCGCGAGGUAGCGAGGGAGCGGCGGAGCGAGCGCGAGGCAGUGAGGGAGCGCGCGGCAGCGAGGGAGCGGCGGGCGACCGCGACGGAGCGCGGGCGCCGAGGGCCCGCCGGCGGCGCAGACCGGGCGUGGACGGAGCGGGGAGCGGAGGGAGCCGCGGCGGCGGAUCUGAGCGAGGCUCGGUGGGAGCAAGUGACGGAGGGGGCGAGAUGAGGGAGGCACUGGCGCGGGACGUCGGUGCGGCGUUACCUACAUACGAACGGAUUCCGCUCGUGACUAGCAGCGGAAGCCAUCCGAACGGCUUCCGCUGAUAAGCCGCAGCCGGAAAAAGAAGCCGCAGCGGCUUAACGCGGUGCCGAACGAGGUGUUUUUAGCGCGCAACGUGUGGCCAGAGGCCCACCUGAAUGAUUUUCAUUUAAAAACAACAACAAGAACAAACAAAGAGAGUGGGGGGAGGGAGGGAGGGGAGCGUGGAUCGGGAAACUAAUCACGGCUCCCACAUCCAUGUAAACACUACGCACGCACACGAACAAACAGAACGCCUACCUUACCGUUUUCCCGUCGAGAAUUUAGUUGCUGCCACACUCCUGUAGUCACGAGAAUCUACUUCACCAAACCAACAAAAGUGUCAUCACGCGGGCUACGUACUGUGAGACACGGUUGUACCCCAAAGAAUACGUGCCAAAACACAAUACAUGUUACAUUAUACGUGAGCCAAAAAGAAAAUCAAUGACAUUAAUACGACAAAUAGGGUCACGUUAAAACCUUGUUUAUCUCAGGCAGUAGUACAGAAAAUCAACCUAACGCUACAUUAGAGCAAAAUUUGUGGCUUUCCUUCUUUCAUUUCCUCACUGUCCAAACAAUAAGCACCCAUGGCUUCUCAAACAAAUAUACAGCUCACAAAUGGUUGCUUCUCACUACAGCAGCUUUAUAAUUUCUCAACUCAAGGGCAAAACUGGAGACCGAUAGCUGCGAUAAAUUCUAAGCUAUUUAUUUCAAGGAUAAAAGAUUGCUGCAAGCUUCAAUUUCAGCAAUGUGGGAGCUCAAGAUAGCCUGACCCGAAGAAUGUGCUCCAAUGACGUUCGUUGCAGCUUUGAAAACUGCUGAGCGGAAGAAGGUAUCCUCCAUUUUCUUUAGGGUAUCCUCAAGAACUCCGAUGCCCAAACAGCAUGACAAGAUCAGACGUCCAACAACUUCACCAAAAUGUGCUGGAGCUUUUGGAAGGUCGAUAGCAAGAUCGUCCAGAAGGGAACCGUAAAGCAAGCAUCCAGUUUCCAAGUCUACCGUCUUGAAAAUAUUCUUGCUGUGAAGGUGUUCCAGUAGCUUCACAAGAGGAUCGAUGGAAUUGGCACCUUUGUCAAGAGCAAGAUUGAUGGCUUCUUUAACAACUUCUGGGUAGUAAUCAGGACUCUUGAGCUCCUCAAUGCACUGUUGUGCUUCAUCUAGAAUACAGACAUGGAAAUACUCCUCAAGAAGAGAGACAGCCUUCUUUUGAAGACUUGGUAAGUUUGGCUUGGGAGCAGCAGCUGGCUUCUCAACUACAGGAGCAGCAGCUGGAGCUGGUGCAACAGCAAGUCCAGGAGAAAAACUUGAAGGACGGGAUAUUGGACCCCCACUGCCCAAUAGCGCACUUGUCUUGCCACUUACUAGUGCUCCGCUGCCUUGAGGAAGUAGUCUAGAAUUGACAACCGAUGGCUUAUUCACCAGCUGGGUAUGGCUGCGCAGUGGGUCAGCUCUGGAUUUAGAACGUGGAACUUCCCAGUUAUCAUUAUCUAACCCAGGCAUUCCGGGCAUCUUUCUUGUUCCAGGCAUGCCAGGCAUCAUGCCACCAGUUCCAGGUCCAUUCAUUGGAAAAGCUCCAGGUGAGAGCGAUCCUCCAGUACCAGUGCGUCCGUUCCUUAUGUUUGCGGUCGACCCGGGUCGCAAUCCAAGUUUCAUUUCUGCCUCUGUAUGAAUCUCACUGAUUUUCUUGGCCUUAAUCUGAGAAAGAAAUAACAACAUAUCAAAGUUAGUGAAAGCUAGAGAUUUUAAAACCAGUUUGUGCAUAAGAAUAGCCAGGCCAGUCCAUGAAGAAAGGCAUAUUGCACUGAAGAGACUAGUGUCUGGUCAACUAUCAGCAUGUGAAACAUAUAUCUUCAAUUUGCAAUGUAUGUUUUAUUUCCCUUGAUUUCACAAGAUCCACUGGCUGUAUAGCAGACUCUGACACGCAGAACACUAAUGCAAAUGCGUUUCAAGAUGGAACUGAGAGACACAUACCUCCUCACGUCGAGGCACCCAGUUGUUUGAACGGAGAUCAAGGACAUCACGCACCAUGAACCUCAAACGUACUGCCAACUGAGUAUUACUUGUCAGCUCCUUCAGGCGAUUGAAGUAGACAUCAUUAAAUCUACGAGACUUUGGGUUCUCAUCCAACUGUUUACCAAUUGUAUUGAAGAACUGGCAGAUGGCCUCAACAUUUUCCUCAGCAGGGCAUGAGUUGCUAUCAGAACCCAGCAGCUCCUAUUUACAGCAAAUGAGUUAGUAAAUAUUUCAUAGGGCAAGAACAUAAUGCAUGUGGAGAAAAGCAUUCCAGUCUAGAGGUCUAUUCCCACUGAUGGAUUGUGGGGAAAAAAUUGAUCACAUCAGAUUACCCAUUUUUCCUGUUUGCUGAAACUACCAAGCUGAAGGUACAACAAAAAUACAUAUUUAUGUACCUGAACAAUGUGAUGUACUAUCUUCUCUGUCACCAUUUUUUGCUUCAGUAGCUCACCAAUAAGGCGAAUAUUUCCAAGUGUUCGAAGCUUCACAAGCCUUUCUUUAUCACGUCUCUCCAUCUCUUGGUCUGGACCGGUCAAUUUCUCUACCUCGUCCCGUAGAUUGCCAGCACCUUCAAAUGCUUCUUGACAAUUGUUCAACAGUACACGUUUGAAUGUAAUCUCCCUAUCACCAGGCUCCUCAGGAGGGAAGGAUGGGAGGCUUUCAUUGAGUUCAGAGCACAGCUGAGCAUACAUCUGACAGAAUGUGGGCUCAAAUACAGCCUUCUCAAAUAUAAGAGUAAUAACAUCCUGAAUAGACAGGAGAAAGGAGGUUAAUCGCAAGGAACGAUAACGUCAAAGACAACAGAAUAAAGAACUAGGAAUAAACAAACCUUCAAAAUAUCAGCUGUAGUAAUUCCUGCUUCUAUCAAUUGGCCCUUCAAAAGGUCAAACUUCUCUGGCGUCAACUUGUUCAGUAUUCUGGCAAUGACCAAAUAUUUUUUUAAGAAACAAAACAAGUUUGACUUUCCGAAUACAAUAGUAUAGAUAAAAAGGUUGUUGACAGAGGUAACAGAGAGCAGAAAGAGAGAGAAAAACUCUGAAAUCAAAUAUACCCUUUCACGGUUUUCAGAACUCUCUCUUUUUCAGAGAGAUUUCCUCUCCGGACUGACCAUGGGACUUCAGCCUUAACAAGAGCAGGGGUGGGACGAGUCUGAUGUAAAAUAAACAAUGUUAGAAAAUUCAUUUAGGUUCCAUAUGUAAAUGAUAGAUGGUCAUACACUAGUUUUGCAGUAGCCUUGUGCGCCAUCCAAAAAUCUGUGGUUGUUGAUUAAGUGCUUAAAUGUUAUUAGGCAACCUUUAUUGUAUGAUAUAACAAAUAAGUUCACGUGUUUCAAAUUUUAUGUGAAUUUGAUCUUAUCAUCUCAACAUUAGAACAUUUAGCAUGUGGCUAGUAAGAUUUGAAUUCAGUAAAGUCCAUACAACCAUUGCACCAGCAUUUACAUUGUAUAUGCUUAUGUUAUGCAAAAUUGCUGGAUUGCUAAAAAAUCAAUCACCUCUUGCAGUCAGGCAUGUGAUAAUUUGAAUGCAUAAAGGCAAUUUUUACACAUGUAAAAAAAUCUGCAGAAAUUGUAUAAACAAAUAUCUACAGACUUAAGUGAAGCAGUUUAGCAUAAUAGUUACAAGAAAAGCAAUAUAGUCAUACACAAACAGAACAACAGAGAUCAACCUAAAUAAAUGAUUACAAAAUCCAUUGGAAAAAACGAUCUUAGCACAUAUGUUAGUCAUCUGUUUAAAAAUACCUGAGCUUUAGCGGCAAACUGCUCUUGCUUUCCACUUGAAACACGAGAUUCUUUAGCUUCACGGAUUUUAUCCCAAGACUUCUCUUCACCAACAACCGGCAAAGUUUCAGAACGUGAACGCCAGUCGCGAGUGUCUUUCUCAGUAUAGCGGUUUUGUGACUGAGUUUGUACCUAUUAGACAUGAUAAAGCACUCAAUCGUACUGUAACAACAUUUUGCAACACUGAGGAAAGUUAUAGCAGUAUGGAGGAAGUAAUGGAAGUGUUCUCACAUUUGAGUCAUUGCGAGCCCAAUUUUGAUCCUCACGUUCCUCUCCAAGGAGUAAUACAUUAAUAUCUUGCUGAAGUUUCAAGAUUUCCUUAGCUAUAUCAACAAUCUGCAAAGUCAUUUUAACCAAAACAUGGACUGAUAAGGAUACUGUGCUACCCUCUACAAAAGUCUAUACGUUGGCCAACACCACUUCUUUAUACAGGUUAGGAUGGCAUGUUUUCAGUUUUCCUAACAAAUACUCACAUACACUCACAAAAGAGUGACAUUUUGUGCCCCUUUUAUAUGAAAUACUGUCUCGGAAGUUAGAAUGUAUUCCUAAAUAUUAUAAUUUGACUAGUUUGUAAAUACAUAAUAACAGAAAUUAGCAGUCCAAACUGCGUUUUGGACACCCAGAAAGGUACUCUUCCACAAAUGCAAGAAGUAGACAACAUAACCUUUAGUCCCAAGCAAGUUGGGCGUUCUAGAUAUGUAACCCAUUAAGAGCCACAGGGAAGAGCAUAAAAGGACGUAGUAAUAGUUAUUACUAUUAACAACCACAGCAACAACAACAAAGCAUUUUAGUCCCAAGAAAGUUUGGGUAGGCUAGCUGAAACCCAAUAUAUAAAAAGAUGAUGAACAAAGCAUAACCUCCAGUAUUAAAAAAAAAGCACACCUCUCUUUCAUUCAUAACAUGAUCAACAGAAAAACAGUUGCAAGCAUCAUAGGAUAUUAGAAGUGAAGUUUAGAUAAAUAGAAUCCAUUGCCUCACUUUCAAAUUUUCAAUGGUUACCACCCUGAAUUACUGAUAGAUUUUGUUGCCUUUUAGAUUUGAUAAGGAUAAAAACAGAGAAAAUAAAGAGAUGUUUGAUGACAAAGAAUGAUUUCAACAUAGUGUUGUUUCCGCAUCAUAGUUCUCAGAAGAGGUAAAUGGUUUCAACAUGAUAUGCUAUGAGUUGGAUGUCUGGUUACACAAGAGUAGCGUCUCAGGAGUUACUUUCGCAUAAUGUAAUAAGCAGCUAUAUGAACAGAACAAGUACCUCACGCAUUUCAAGGAGUUGAUCUCUUGUGUAGCGAACCCGCUCAAGAGGCUCAAAACAUGAAUCUCCAAGCUGCAAUGCAUUAUUACGCAAGUCAGAAAGAGAAGAUAAGGAUACAGCAAUUUUUUUGUUGCAUGCAGAAUUAGCUGAACACACACACACACACACACACACACACACCCCAACAACAUGCCUUUGGAACUUGCCAGCAAAAGUCAAACAAGUAAACUUGAGUAGAGGACCAUUUCCACGGCCAACGGCCUGCAUUGGCAUGUAACGGUGAUGUGCAGUUUAACUUAUCAUUUUUUUCAGUGUUUCCUAAUAAAAGUGGAGCUUAACUAACUUUGUGCAAACUCCUAGUCUUACAACUUCCCUAGGGAUGACCACAUACCAUGGAAACAAUUACAUCACCAUAUGAUGAACUAUGUAGCAACUAGUAACCAAAAAUCAAGAACCGAUAAUAUUACAUUGCUCUGAGUGCAAUUGGUGUUUGUCUUUGCUCUCUUUCAGUCUUAAUCAAGAUUUUGUUGAAUAAGCAGGGGCAAACAUUUCUAAAUAAAGAUAGUUAACAGUUACCAGUUAUAAGAAAUAAUCGUACCCGUGUAAAGAUGAAUGCAUAGACUCUUUUGGACAGUACACUGUGCGAGUGAAAAUAUGAGAUCAUGGUAGCUCAUACGAACCAGGACUCCACAAUUCAGUAAAUGGUGCUAUCUGCUUAUCUCAGUCACUUGACCUUCUGGCGAGUACAAAGCUUGUAACUAGUUUUCCUAUUUAAUUUGUGGAAAUUAUUGUAGCUUAAAUACAUGUAAUGCAAUCUCAUUUGAUGUACAUAGGGUUGAAAGCUAUGCAAGAUGUAUAUCAAAUAGUUAGUCACAAUUCUUUUUUGAGAGCGCCAGUUCUCUUUAAUAAGCUUAACUACAAGAUAUGAUGCCACGAUCCAACACCCAUUGCUGUAUCAUAGGCAAAGCUAGCACACAAGCUGUUGACAAUGUGAGCUGGUAGUAAAAUAUGAAGAUCUAAGGCAGCCAAACUAAAAUAGGUUUUUGCUAUGUCUGGUUGUCCAAGAGAAUGCAACAGACAUGGAGGUUCAGAUGUUUUUAGAGAGCUAGCAGUUGAUGAUGAUGGCUGUGGUUUGAUUGGUCCAUAGGAAGCAGCUUCCAAUUUGACAGCUACAAUAGCUAAACUGCUCAACUUGUAACUGGAAGAAAUGCCUCUACCAACACAAUAUGCUAUGAUUUUUAAAUCAAAAAGUACGUAAAGAAAGCUGCACACAGAAAUAACGAAAGCUAAAACAGCUUCUGCACUGUCAAAAGCUCCAAUCAAUUCAGGAACAAUCAAACCAUCAAAGUCAUUGCAAUGCCACCGGAGCAUUACAACCCACCAAAAAGUAUGCUUAGCCAGAAUAAUAACCCAAGACAAGUGCCUAACAUGUCCCACCUCCCCACACCAAUGUGUCUCUUGCCAUACGCUCCAUGCCAUCGCCUCUAACAUCAGCUCAACGGUAAAUUAUUUCUACAUAGCUUUGAUUACCAAAUCGGCACCAGCACCAAUCCGACCCAUAUCUCGGCCACGGAGCCGGCGCAAGCGCAAACCCCAACCAAAACCCUAGCACACUGCACACCACACCUCGUCCCGCCCCCAACUCCAGAUCGUGCGGGUUACCUUGGCGGCAAAGCCGGUCGAGGAGCCGCCGUGCGGCCGGAGGAAGUCUCCAGCUCCGGUGGCGGCGGCGAAUGCGGUGGGGAAGAGGCGGGGUGCGCGCAGGCCGAUGCCACCGCCGCCCGGGCGCAGGCUGAUCACCGGCUGGUCCGUCGUCAUGCUUGCUCCGCUGCUCCGAAUGAAAAUCGACAACCGAGCCUGGGGCGAAUCCGCGAGGUGGGGCGCACGAGAGCGGAUGGAACCAAAGCUUUUGGUGAGCUGGGCACCUGUAUCUCUCUCUCUAUCGGCGAGGAGAGGCGGAGGAGGAAAGAGGAGGCUGCGUGGUCGGGGGUGCGGGGUUUUAUCGCGGAGACUUUAUUAGGGCUUGCGCCCUUUUUGGCAGGGUGAUUCAGUCUCUUUGCAGGCCCAAAGCAGAAUUGACGAAGGCUUGUCGGGCCGAACUUUGGGCUUUCCGGUGGCGAAUUGACGAGUUGGGAUCGGAAAGGGUUACCAUAUUUGGUUGUUCUUUUUUUGACACGGAAGAAAUCACUUCCAUUAACAAUUUUUUUUAAAGACAUGCAUAUCACUGUUCUUAAUAUUUCAUUAAGAAGAAAAGAAUUACAAUGAUACAACUUAGGAAAGAUCCAAACCGCAGAGUUACAUGAACCACCACCAGGAAACACAGAUGCAACAAUAGAAAAGAAAACUACGGCACCACCACCACACCAAACAUGACCUAAGACGACCGAUACCUGCAGGAGAGAAAGACACCAAAAGCACACGCACAUCACCGACUGCCUAACAACACGAAGCCAUUGGAGGUAUAGUGAGAAGGUCGUGCAAGAUGAUGCCUCCAGGGAGGGAGUUACGCCAAUGCCGGCAUCGUCCAUCUGUCCUUGAGGAAGGAGACCAAGUCUUCACCUAGCACAAACUACUGGAUUUGGUGGCUGCAACAAUGCCCCCAGCGAGGUUAACUAUGUCAAAGGACACAACCGUUGUCGGCCCCGACGAGUGCCUAGCUAGGCUUUCACCAAAGGCCCAAAAAACCAACUCUGCACAGAGACCGCCGAGGCCUGGAAGAUAGCCAAUGCGAUGGAAUGGCAGCGAGUAACCCAUGGUGACGACGAUGAGGAACGUCCGCAGGCACGGUAGAGAGGGGCUGCCAUCACGACAACCGAAAAUGACCAUGGAGCGACCAAGCGACCGAAGGGGGAGCAGGCAGGCCUGCCAGAGCGCGAUCUAGGUGUGAUGGGGUGUGCAGUGGAGGUGAGAGGAGGAUGAGGAGCGCGACCAGGGGAAGAGAGGUGGGAGGAGCGUGCACAGCCGCUGGUCAACGACGGUCUAGGGAAGGCUUGCCGCUCCAAAAGGCCACGUCCCUGAAGCUCGGUGCCGAGCGCCCCCUGAACGAUGGUCAUCCAAGCGCCGAAGACGGUGGGCUGGAUAGCACGACCCACGCCGACACUCGCCGGGAGUGCGAAAGGUAGGACCUUGCGGCAAUGUAGUGGCGCGCCGCCGGCAGCCAAGCCCCGCUGCAGGGCGCCACGCCACAGGACGCUGGUUCCCCGCCGCGGCCCUUGGUACAUGAGCAGCGACGCUUCCCAAGCCAUGCCCCCCGGUACACGAGCAGCGACGCCUGGAGCUUCACGUCCAAGGAGAGGACGAAUGGGAGCGCACCCGCCGCCUGUGGACGGGUCGGAGAGGGCGGCGAGCACGCGCACCACAACCGUCGCCGGCGCGCCCAUGUUCACACCCCAGGCCACCUACCCCGAUGGUGAGAUGAAGGAGCCCAUGCCAGAAGCCGCGUCGCCACCGCCGUAGGGCCAGGCCGCCCACGAGCGCCAGCACGCGCCGCUUCCCAGGCCGUGUGCCGUCACCCCGGACAGCGGCGCGUGCCGGCACCGAUCGAGCAAAUCCACCCACCAUGGACGCAGAUCCGCACAUCCCCGGCGUUGAUCGAACCUUGCCGUGCCGAAUCUUGCCGCCGCCAACACACAGGAAACGGGAGAAGGAAAAAAAGGGGAAAAGGAGGGAGGGGAGGAGGAAACAGGAGUGAGCGACAUUGCUUGACGCCGCCACCACCAGCUACCGGCGGCGGCGGCGGCGACCAUGCAGGGGCUUCCGCGAGGUGGGGUUGGGGAGGACGGUGUCACCUCCCGGGUCGCUCGAGCGAGUUCUAUUAACAACUGGCUCAAGGCAAAUUACAAAGUCUGGGGCCUCCUGAGGCUGACUCAUGUACAUAUAGGGUCUGUUUGGCUCCCACCUGCUAAAGUUUAGCACCUGUCAUCAUGGAUGUUAGGAUAUUAAUUAGGAGUAUUAAACAUAGGCUAAUUACAAAACUAAUUGCACAGAUGGAGUCUAAUUCGCGAGACGAAUCUAUUAAGCCUAAUUAGUCCAUGAUUUGACAAUGUGAUGCUAUAGUAACUAUUUGCUAAUGAUGGAUUAAUUAGCUUUAAUAGAUUCGUUUCGCGAAUUAGCCCAGAGUUCUGCAAUUAGUCUUAUAAUUAGGUCAUGUUUAGUCCUCCUAAUUAGUAUCCGAACAUCCGAUGUGAUACAACUAAAGUUUAGCACCUGGUAUCAAAAUACCCCAAAUACCCUGUACUCAUGCGAGCCGGCCUGCAAUCCCAUAGGCUGCUAAACUGUGUGCUACCCUGUUACACAUUCUCGAGCAGAUACAGUACAGUGCACAAAAUGAGAAGACCCAAACUCUCGUAUCUGCUUAAGAAGGGAACCAUUCGGGCUUCGAUCCAUCUCCGUCGAUGUUGCGUCUGUCUCCAAAAUGACUCUCGACAUGCCAAGUUGCGCCACCCGUUCCAGGCUGCAAACCGCCGAUGGACUCAUGGACAGUGUCAGUCGCUUCACCUCUGUUGCUGUGAUUGCAUCUGCUAUGUGUUGUGUGUGAGCUGUCGUUAUGCGUGUUGGUAUGUAGCUCUCGUGCAUUACAUGUGCAGGAAUCGAUUUGUCUGAUCGGCGCUCUCCUGCUUAAUGAUCUGACGGAGUUAGGACGUAUUUAAAUCCUCAGCUAAAGUUUAUUCUUUUUCACAUUAAAUAUUCGGAUAUUAAUUAGAAGAAUUAAAUAUGAGAUAAUUAUAAAAUUAAUUGCAGAAGUUUUGAUAUAAUUCAUGAGACGAAUCUAUUAAACUUUACGUAAUGGGCAGCACAGGUAGCACAGGAUUGUACUCUGCUGCGUGAGGAGCACGUGCUGGUGCACCACCGAUAGGUAAUGGUGCGUCAGCUCGUUGAAGUCUAUUUUGCUGUGGAUGGCAGUGGUGUCAUUUAAGGCAUGGAUGAUGGAUAUAUGGUAUCCAUUAUUGACGUUCAGAAGGCAGAUGGAGCAAUUCGUGCUAUUCGUGUCAUUUAAUCCUAAUGAAAAGUUUUAUAUUGAGCUUCCAAGACAGCCACGAUAAGCAAGAAUGAAAUGAAAUGUGCUUGCAACUACCCUCCCUAAUGUAUAAUUUAUGGUGUGGUUUCAUAGGAUCAAAAUAGCAUUUGAUUUCAUGUCUCAUCGAGAGUUGGUAUUCGUGUACAGUUAGUUUCAUCCAGAUGAAACUGGUUCCCUCUCUCUCUUUUUUAAUUUCAUGCCGUGUCAUCAAUCAAAAUCCUAUGUGGCAUACUAAUUAAUGAGAAUGAAACCUCAUGAAACUCCCCAUUGGAACUAGCCUUACGCUGCCUUGUACGUGAGGAUGGACGCCCUGCUGAUUUUGUAGUGGGUGUCGAGGUUGCAUCGAUAUCGGAACACGGUGUGUAUUCUAUAGUCGGAGUAAACGGAGAAACGAUUAUAACUGAGUUUUCUGUCACUAACUUCUGUCACUAACUUAAGGCGUUGUUUGGAUCCACCCAUCUAAAUUUUAGCUGGUUAAAGUUUAGAAGCUUAUUUUUUUAGCUGGUUAAAGUUUAGAAGCUUAUUUUUUUAGCUGGCUAAACUUUAAUGGGGUUGUUUGGAUCCACUAGCUAGUGGUUAGCAUACUACCCUCAUCUCACCCUCCUCCCUUCUUCCUUCCUUCCUCCUCUCACUCCAUCACCGCCAGCCAACUCCACUCUCCUCCGGCUAUCUCCCACAAGGUCACAAAUCAACCGUACCCAUAGAUCCUCCACCUCACAAGCUUCCUCCUCAACUUUUUCAGGUCACCUGCUGUGUCCUCGUCGGCUAGGAAUUUAAGCCCCCGGUGGCCGGAGCAGGCCGAUAUGGAUGGAGGCUGGCGUGGGGCGAGCGGCGGCCCGUGUCAAAUCUCCCCGAGAAGAGGUUGAUGUGGUCUCCGUCAGAGGUCGGGGAUGGAAAGGCAUCCGCCGCGGCUCCACCGGCGCCGCCGUCGGGAGGAGGGGAGCUGUGGAGGGCGGCUCCGCCUGGACGAGGCCGCGGUUGCGGCGAAGCACGACGAGGUGGAGGUCCGACUCACGGCGGCGCUUGGCCUCGCACUGGAGCUGCUCCUCAUGACGUGGACAACGUUGGUGGCAGCCGACGGAUCCGGGAGGAGGAUGGCAUCAAGGCAUGGCCGGAGUGGAGGAUGGCGCGAAGCAGGGACGCGGCGGGGAUGGCGGUGGCCGGGACGGAUGGGAGACCGGCGGCGCGUGCGGCAGCCAUCCCUCCCCGGCGCAGCAUCCCGGCGCGACAUCCCGGCGCAGCGUCCCCGGCGCGACAUCCCGGCACAGCGUCCCCAACGGCACAGCAGUGCAGGAGCAGCGCGGCGUCCCCGGCGGCGCAGCAUCCCGGCGAGCAGCUUCACGGAGGAGGUGCGAGCGACAGGAUAGGCGUGGCAAGCGGCGGGACCGAUGGUGGGAGGGGAUUCCUCCCAGGAAGUAGGAGGGGCAUAUCGAUCUUUCAUCACUUUAGCUGGUUCCAACCAGCUAAAGAAUUUUAGCUAAAGCUAAAGUUUAGCUGGAUUCUAUUUGGAUCCCUAGUAACUAAAUUUGACCAGCUAACUUUAGACGAUGAAUCCAAACAGGAUCUUAGCUGUGGAGAGAUCCCAUCCUCCCUGUGCCGAGCUAACUUUAGACGGUGAAUCCAAAGGACCUUAGCUGCGGAGAGAUCCCAUCCUCCCUGUACCGAGGUCGGAUGGUGAUCAUUUUCUUUUUUUGGAAAAGACGUGGUGAUCAUUUUCAGAAAAAAAAAACUAUGAGCUCUCUCGCCCGGUUGAGGGCCUGUUUAGAUCCCUCUUAACUUAGCUAAAGUUUGGAGUUUUUUUAGCUAGUGGAUCCCCGAGCUAAACCCCUCUAAAUGCCCAUGCUACCCUUCUUUAUUAGCGCGCCAAGGCCAACCGUGCUCCUUUGCCGUGUUGUUGUUCUCACGCAAAAAACAAGCAGCUGUCAAUUGCAAAGACACAUACAUAUGUACACUGAACAACAGCAACUGAACAAUGAACAAGGAGAAAGAAGAACGAAAAGAAAGGAACGAAAUCUCACAGCACAUACUCACGCACUGACUCACAGUCACAGCAACCACCGACAGACCACCACCACCACUCCAGCAGAUCCGCCUCGAGAGAGAAGAUUAACCUUAAUAAUCCCCUACACCAAAGCGGCGGCUACGGCCACGGCCACAGCGGCGAGCCACCGCGGGCCACAGCCAGCAGCCCCGCCACGGUCGGCAGGGGCGCCACGGCUAGCACCGGCGCCUCGGCUGCCACGGCCGCCGCGGCUACCACGGGGCAAGCCGGUGUCAGUGCCGCCACCAUCCUCUCGGCAGCGGGGAUUGGGGGCUGGCGCCGAUGAAGAUGGGGAGAAGAGCCUUCCACGGGACGGGGUGUUGGCUUCCCGAAAGAAGAUGUCGUCGUCGACCUCGUCUCGGCGCUCCAUCCUGUGCCGGUGUGGGAGCACUGGAGGCGGGGGUGGGAUGCGGUGGCGGUGCGGUGGCGAUGGGCGGUGGAGCGAUGAAGGGGACGGCGAGAGCGGCGCUGCGGGAAAAGUGGAUCGGUAGGGGGUUGCGGCGCUGCGGGGAAAAAAGGACGGGAGGAGACCGACGGGUGCGGCGCUGUAGGUGCGAGUAAGGUCCUGUUUGGGAAGCCCCUUUUAACACAUUUUUAACAUAUUGGCUGCCAAACAGUUGUUUUAAAAGGGUUGUGUUAAAGUUUAACACCCCAUAUUUCAUAAACACAUGGAGGGGGUGUUAAAACUUGCUAAAGGUGUUAAAAGUGAUCCCCCUCCUCACUUAUUCCCUGGUUGCCCCCCUUUCUCUCUCCUCCGCUGCCCCUCUUCUCCCUCCCGCAUCGCGUCCGCCCCUCCCGCCGGCAUCUCCUCACGCUGGCCAUCCCCUGCCGCCGGUCCUUCCCCACCCGUAGGUCCUCCCGCCGGCCAUCCCCACUCGCAGAUCCAUGGCGCGGCCUCCGACCACCGCCGUCGUGACUCAUCCUCCUCCGACCGGUGCCACAACCUCGACGCGGCCUCCGACCGGUGGCGCCGCGACUCGUCCUCCUUCGACCGGCGCCACAGCCUUGACGGGGCUGCCAGACGCCAUCGCGGCCGUGCUGCCGCCAGACCCGUACGAGUAGCUGGAGGUGGCGCACAAGAUCACGGUUGUGGCCGUGGCGGCUUGGGCCUUGCGCCUCGAGCUUGAGGUCGCACGCCUCCGCUAGAGGCUGGACGACAGGGUCCUUGCCGCCACCGAGCUCAACGGGGGAACAGGACUCGACGGGGGAGCAGGACUCGAACCCCUUCGUCGCCCCCGUCCCGCCGCCUUCGCCGAGCCCCGCCACCCCUCUUCUCCGCGGCCCCUCUUCUCCCUCCCGCAUCUCCUCCCGCUGACCAUCUGUGGCGGAACCGCUCAAAUUAACUUAGCUAAAGCACAAUUAAGUCGCCUGACCCACGAUCAUAUGCUUUAAUCAAGUUAACUCGGCAGUCCGUCGGAUUUCAUCCGAUAAGACCACUACACAGGAUCGAAAUAGCAGAGCUCACACGAAGGUGAGUGGUUCCAGAGAAUACAACGGAUCAUCCAACUUAAAUGAGUACAUUAAUUUCUUACAACACUGGUUCAAAAAACAAUGUUGUACAGAGUUCAUGAGCAGCGAAAAAGAUAAACCGCGGAAGCUAGCACCGGGGUCGGAUGUCACUGAUAAGGCCGAUCAUGACAUCACUGGUCCCUAUCCACGCCGUCCGAGGAGGGAUCCCACUCGACCGUCCACCCAGGAGGAAACUGGGGAGGCCAAGUGCCAAUAGCAGCUAACACAGUAGCUUCAACAUCACCUGAAAGAUGUGCCACAAGCAAAGCUGAGCGACUACACUCAACAAGACUUAACUGACCUUUGGGAUCUACUCCACCAAAUUCUAGACAUGCAAGGCUCUUGGCUAAGGGGUUUGCUUUGCCAAAGCGACUACAGUAAGUCCUUACUUUCAAUAUUUUAGCUCAAGUUCUAAGUUUAUUAACCAGUCUACAUUAGCAACUUAUGCUAAGCAAACAUAGGUUCCAAACAAUUUAAAGAACAAGCAUCAAGGUUCACAUCAUCAUCAUAUUCCAUCUUUACUCAGUGUAGCAUAGCGAUCAAGCAGUCCCAAACUGUGAGAGGCAGACGAAUCGAUUCGAAUUUUUUAACUAUGCAUGGUGAACCUAAUCUCACGACAUCCGCGCACCACAGAGGGUCGCUUCCUGUGUCGGCUGUCCCCAUCAGUUCCCAGGCGCGUGUCAGGUCCAAACUUCCCUUGGCAUGCAAUGCUCCACAGUCCCGACCUCUUGCCGUACUGUGACCGCACUUGCACCCACAUGAUGCACCAUGGGAACCUCGUUCCAGGGACAGCAGUGGUAUAAGCCACGCACUAGUUCAAUCAGGUACUAGGCUUCCCCAUCCCAUACUAGGUAUGAGAUUAGUACUUUCAAACACUUGAUCACAAACACCAACACUUUCCGACCUUAAUCAAUUUCAUGUAGACAGACGAGGCAAUCCACCGACCACCAAAAUAGUUCACAGAGCCCUGCCCCGUCCAUCGUCCUUAUAGUUGUAACCAGAAGGGGAGCAAGCAACUCCUAUAACUCACGAGUGACAGGGAAUCACUCGACUUUUACCAAGUCAUGUUAAGCACUGCAACUACUCGGACUAUCAUACUAGUAUUUAGAUCAAGGGAACUAAGUCAUGCAUCUAGGGUUUCAAACAAUUCCUGUAACGUAAAUGCACAUACAUACAAAUGAAGGCAUGUGCAAGUUUAGAAAGACUGGGUUAUGCUUCGGGGCUUGCCUUCGAUCGGAGCGGAAGCAAACUAAUCUUCUGGGUGCUCGGCUUCAGCUCCUCUAGGCGGCAGCUCGGCUAUAACUCUGUCUUCUGACACCGGGUGCAGCUCGUACGUGCCGUCAGCGAGGUUUAGCUCUACACGGAAUGCAAAUGCAAGGGUCAGACACUUAGACGGUUAUUUCAACAACGCUUACAAGAUUUAGCCCAGAAACUGUAGCAAAACUACAGGAAAAGUGUGAAACCCAUUUUAUUGGAUUCUACUCAGAAAGAGGAUUCGAACCCAAGUGAUUUCACAUUUUUCUAAUUUUUCCUCGAUUUAAGAUGAAUUUCCCCAAGCUUCUGUUGAUUUAGAAAAGAUAAAAGAGUCGGAUCGGGAAAAACUUACGAUCUGACCCUUAGACCUAAGGAAUAACUGUACCGGGGUCCUCAGACUUAACACAGAGAAGUCCCUGAAAUUUUACACAGAUACCCUUGGUCAAAAGGAAAGGAUACAGCCGAGCCCUCGGGCGAGGCGGACAAGGGUCGGACGAAACAGAUAGGGGUCGGGUGAAACGGACAGGGGUCAGGCGAAACGGAAAGGGGUCGGGCGAAACGGAAAGGGGUCGGCAGCUUACCUUUGGUCUUACCGACGAAAACUUGGGGUCGGGAAGAAGCAAGCUCAGGCGGAAUGACAAAAGGCGCUAAGUUUCGGGCGGCGGUGGCGCUGCUUGAGGGCAACAAGCACACUCUAGCACAGCGCGAAGGAAGGCAAAACGGCUGGCGAGGUGUUGGGCGGAAGGGGAGCUCCAUAGAGAGCUCAGGCGGCAGCACUUGCGCGUGAAGCAGAGAAGUGUGCGGCGACGAGUGCGCUGGAGAAGAACAAGCAAGCAAGGGUGGCAAGGCGGUGGUGGCAAAAGGGAACUCCGGUAAGAGGCUUCGGUACCCCUUUUAUAGCUACGCGGAAGAGAAAGAGUUCGAGCGGCGCGAGGAUAAGAUCGAGAGACAAAGGAGUGCUCUGCUGUGGCGGCGAUUGGUCGGCAUCUCCAUUGGCCGGCGAAGAGGAGCUCCGGGGAGAGGAUCUUACAGCAUUGGGCACUGAAGAUAGCGCUAGGCAGGCGCGGUUUUGCCGGACGGAAGGACUGGUGAGGUCGAGCCUGUGCCUGGUCGCGUCAAGCGCCGGAUUGGGUGCGGCAACUCGGUAUUGGCGGACAGGAGGGAGAGAGGGGCACUGCAGGCGAGGGUGCUGCAGGCGAGGUGACAGGGCGAGCGAUGCGACGCGAGCAUGCGCGUACUAGCGGCUCUGCCGCGGCACACGACUGGCGAGGCGGGGGAAAAAGAGUUGUCACUGCCUGCGCGGUGGUUGGCGAAGGCGGUAUCGUCACGGGGCGCGCGCGUGGGCAGCGCGACUGAGGUAUGACGGAAAAGCCGGAAGGAGUUGGGGCGCGGGCGGGGAUCCUGGUGAGGAGAUGCACACGGGAGGCGAGGCAGACUAGCGCGGCCAAAUCUUCGGUCGCAGCAGCGGCAGCUUCGGCGCGCGAUUGGGAAGGAGGCGCGCUGAUCCAUCGUGUUGCGGCCAGCGACUGGGCGAGACGAUGAGGUCACACCACGUGGCGGCGGCACUCUGAAAUAGGGCGCACGCAAGCUCUGGCGCGCUUGGCUCGAGAGAUCCACGGGAUCCUUUUUCUGGAUCCAUUUUCCAGCCUCUUGAUCUCCCAAGUUCCAAUCUUCACCACUUUGACUCCCUUAACAAGAGUUGUAGAACACCAGCUAAGGUCCAACUUUUGUAAUUGGAUCGAGCUCAAAGACGCAGUGGAUUCGUAGAUCCAAAGCUCCAAAGUUGGAAGGAACACUGGUUUCGGGACUUAAAGAAAACGACGGUUUGCUGGGUUUCAGGGGUCGGGGCUGAUUUGAACUGCAGAUUUGGGAAGUUUCAGAGAUGGAUUGGAGCAAGGUCCAAUUAACAAAGCUAAAGCAGGGACUUCGUUCUCCAACUUCUAACAAGAGUUUUCUUGGUGUCCUGCUCAACUUUCCAAAGAUAAACCCUCCCUAAGGCGCUAGGUUGGGUUGAAAACCAGACUUAGCCGGUAUAGCUCAAGAAAAGCUGAGUCAACCAGAUUAGGGAACUUGUUUUAAGAUUAAACUCGGCUUAUUUAAUCCAGAUCAUUACACCAUCCCGCGUGGGGGUCGGGCUCCGCGUCGCCGGUGACCGCAGGCGCCGCAUCUCACCGUCCAGCGCCUCCCGCACGGCCUCCGAUGCCUUCAGUUGCUCGCCCUCCGCCGACCCUGCCUCCUCCGCCCGGCCCUGUCGGCGUGCCAUGCUGCCUCCGCAAGCCCCGCCUCCUUGCGCCAGAUCCGCCUCGCCUGCUCUGGAGGUCGAAUGUGAUGGUGGCCGGUAGCCGCCCGAGCUCCGCCGGCACCCCAUCGAAGAGGUGCUUCCCAAACAGGCGGGCAGCGGGAGCGAUGGGCGGAGCGAGGAAGAAGGCGGAGAUGGCGCGCGGGUGGAGCGCGUGGAAGGCGAGCGGGGGGAAAGGGAGCACUGGGAGGGGCAGUGCGCCGGCGAGGGAAGAGGGAAAAGGAGGGGCACUUGGGUCAUUUGCCACCAAAUAUGCUAAACUUUAGCAUACUAUCCAAACACCUUAAGAUGCUAAAGUUUAACACUCCAUUUGAGGGUGUUAAACUUUAACACCUUGUUAAACUUUAACACCCCCUUCUCAAACAGGGCCUAAAUGCGACGGUGUUUUGAACUUUGCUCACUUUCGAGCAGAGGGGUGUUUGGAUUCUUGCUAAAGCUUAGCUCGGGUCGAAUGUUUGGAGGUUAAUUAGGAUCAUUAAAUGUAGACUAAUGAUAAAAAUAAUUGUAUAAAUGAGGGCUAAUUCGCGAGAUGAUUAAAUGUAGACUAAUGAUAAAAAAUAAUUGUAUAAAUGAGGGCUAAUUCGCGAGAUGAAUCCAUUAAGCCUAAUUAAUCUAUGAUUAGCACAUGUUUACAGUAACAUCACAUGUGAUAAUCGUGAACUAAUUAUGUUUAAUGGAUUCAUCUUGCAAAUUAGCUCCCAUUUAUGUAAUUAUUUUUAUUAUUAGCUUAUGUUUAAUCUUCCUAAUUGGUAUCAAAUAUCCGAUGUGACCUGAGCUAAACUUUAACAAGGAACCAAACACUCCCUUAGCAGAUUUUAGCUACUCUUGGCUGGCUAAUGGCUAAAGUUCUUUUUGGGCUUGGGCUAAAAUUUAGCAAUGUUAGUGAGCUAAAAUUUAGUCCACUAACUUUUAGCAAAGGGAACCGCCUGAGUUGUUGUCUACUGGUGUGGUGCGGACAAUGGCUGCAUUCGUCAAUUUGUGACUAGUAGUGGUUCUUGUUGGUUUGCAGUACGAGUAGACUUGGCACCGACUACUUGUGCAGAUGCCGUGUGGGCCUGCAUUAGCAAUGCGGAGACCAGCCAGUCAAACCUAUUUCGGCGGCAGGCCGGCAGCUUCUUCUCUUCCACUCGCUGACCCGCGGCCGGUUCCUCUUCACCACGUCCAUUCUUUCCAUUCCUCUUGGCAUUGGCAACAAGCAACGUUCGAUUGCCAGCCGGCACAGGGUUCAGCCAUGGAUGCCGCUGCUUUCCUCUACUCCUCCCGUCUUCCAAUUCCAAUUUGGCUCGCCAUCUCCGUCCUCGUGGCGUUCCUCCUCCCUGUCGUGCUCACCCAGGACCCCAACCUCUGCGCGACCAAGGCGAACGGCAGGUACGCCUGCCCCCUCCUGCUCCACCUCCACCUCCAGCCGCGGCGUCGCCUUCGAGGCCAACCUGCUCCGCCUCCGGGACUCCCUCCGGGACAUGGCCGCCGCCAACGCCAGCUUCCUCAACGCCACCUUCGGCGCGGGAGGGGACGGCGGGGACACGGUGUACGGCCUCGCCACGUGCCUCGCGGACGUCGAGAUGCCGGCCUGCGCCGCCUGCCUGGCGGGCGCGGCCGCCGAGGUGGCGGGGACGCGAUGCGGGAGCCGCAGGGACAUGGUGCUCUGGUACCCGCAAUGCCUCGUGCGCUACGACAACACUAGCUUCUUCGGCGCCGCAGACACGUCAGCCGACCGCCGCCUCAGCGUGCCCAACCCGAACAACUUCUCCGACCCGGCGGUCCUCGGCGAGGCGCGCGAGAGGCUGGGCGGCCGGAUGCUCGCCGCGGCGGCGGGAUCGCCGGUCCGGCUCGCGUUCGGCGACGAGCGGGUCACCGCCAACACGACGCUGCACGGGCUGGCGCAGUGCACGGAGGACCUGACCGCCGAGGAGUGCACCCGCUGCCUGGCGACGCACAUGGUCUGGCUUGGCGUCUGCUGCGCGGACAUGGACGGCGUCCGGCUCAUCGGGCCCAGCUGCUACCUGCGCUACGAACUCUUUGCGUUCGAGCCCGCCACGACGCCGUCCAUGGCGCCGCUCGCCGAACCGCCGCCGCCAUCUGCACCAGGAGCUCCUUCUGGGACUGGGACUGGGAGCUCCUCAUCCUCGAAGAAAAAGACCAGGAGCUGUGAGUAUCCGAUUAUUGUCAAUUGGAUUCUGUUUCGAUCCUCUUGGCUCAUCGACCAUCGCAAAUGCGAAUUUGUGAUUUGUUGAUGCAGACGUACUAGCAGGAGCAUUGGGUGGAGUGCUGGUUCUUCUUCUCGGGGCUUGCCUAAUAACAACAUGGUGGUACAAGAAGAAGGGAUCGUCAGGCAGGAAGAGGAUGGAGUCGCUUCUGCAGCAGCACCAGCAGUAUCCGCGGAGGUACAGCUACGCGCAGCUGAAGCGGAUGACCGGAUCCUUUGCGCACAAGCUGGGCCAGGGCGGCAAUGGCGAGGUGUACAAGGGAAGCCUACCCGACGGGCGCGAGGUGGCGGUGAAGAUGCUCAAGGAGGCCAAGGUGGACGGCGAGGAGUUCAUUAACGAGGUGGCCAGCAUCAGCCGGACCUCGCAUGUGAACGUGGUCACGCUACUGGGCUUCUGCCUGGAAGGAUCGGGGCCCAGAUCCAAGAGGGGCCUUGUCUACGAGUUCAUGCCCAACGGCUCGCUGGAGAGGUACACCGCCGGCGGCGACCUCGGGUGGGAGCAGCUGCUGGGCAUCGCCGUGGGCAUCGCGCGGGGGCUCGAGUACCUCCACCGCGGGUGCAACGCCCACAUCGUGCACUUCGACAUCAAGCCCCACAACAUCCUCCUGGACGCGGAGCUCCGCCCCAAGAUCUCCGACUUCGGGCUGGCCAAGCUGCGGCCCCAGAGGGACAGCACCAUCCCCGUGUCCAUUACCGGGGCCAGGGGCACCGUCGGCUACAUCGCGCCGGAGGUGUUCUCCAGGCAGGUCGGGUUGGGGGCGGUUACCAGCAAGUCCGACGUCUACAGCUAUGGCAUGAUGGUGCUGGAGAUGGUCGGUGCAAGGAGGACCACCGUCAACAAUGGUGUGGGUUCGGUAACCACCGGGGCGAGCAGCGGCAGCAGCAGCUACUUCCCGGAGUGCCUGUACCAAGAUCUGGACGGGUUCUGCGCGAGCGCCUGUGGGCCUGACGAGAAGGUGGGCACUGCGGAGGUGGUGAGGAAGAUGGUGAUCGUCGGCCUCUGGUGCAUCCGGAUGUCUCCUUCCGAUCGCCCGUCCAUGAGCAGGGUCGUCGAGAUGUUGGAGAAGACCACGCCGGAGCUAGAACUGCCGCCAGAGGCACGGGCAGCAGAGGCAGCAGGCAGCACAGGAGCAGCAGCCUCUUCUUGACUCUCCUUCGUGGAGAACGUGUGGCCCGACAAACGCAUAAGGCGGCCCACUUGACUUGGUCUGGCCCAUGCGCGCCUCGUAGGCCAGCCACAAUUGAUGAUCUCCCUCUCUUGCGCGCAUCUUUUUUUUUUUGACUGAAACCGCGUCGCUGUCCUGUCAAAAUAUUGUGCCACGUGAUGCUGAUGUCACAUAUAAAUUAUGAGCCGUACGAUAUCAAAAUAUUGUGCCACGUCAAUCUGAUGUCACUACCUUGUUAGAGUUAUUGUUAUCCACAAGCCGUUCUACCUUUUUUUUUAAAAAAAAACGAGAUUGCACAACUGACUUGGUUGGGCUUUUCGGCCGAACAAGCCCAUAAGGCGGCCCAUAUGACGGAUUUGUAAUUUAGCAUGUGUUUUAUUUUGGGACGAAGUGGGUUGGGUUGGAGCCGACCCACUUUUGCGGGUUGGAGCUAACCCAUCUUAUGUUUGGAUGAAUGGUUGGAGCCGACCUAGUAUUUUGUUUGGUUGGAGAGGUUGAGAAGGUUGGAUGGAUGUCCUUUUAACACCGUUAGUGGUGGGUCCCACCUGUCAACCGUAGGACCUACCUGUCAGCCUCUGUUUUUUUCCCUCUCCCUCCCAUCUUCUUCCUCCUCUCCUCCCGCACGGCUCCUCCCCGGCCGGUCCUCAGCCGCCGACGCGCCCCCCCCCCCGAUCCUGCUCCCUGCGCCGCCGUCCCCCAACUGCGCCGCCACCCCUGCCUCCCCAGCUCCGCGCGCGCCGCCCCGUGCCUCCCCAGCUCCCUGCGCCGCCGCCCCUGCCUCCCCAGCGGCCCAGCUCCCUACGCCGCCGCCGCCUGCCCAAAUCCCGCCGCCGCCGGCGGCCUCAUCUCCCUCCCCGCACCGGCAUGAGGGGCCGCGGCCAUGGGGGCGUCGCAGAGGUGGAGGACCUGCGCCGCCAGCCAUGGAGUAGGCGGCUCCGCCACCACCUUCCUGCGCCCGCCACCGCGCCACUCGUCCCCGGUCCCGGCUCCUCCCAGCGCCGCUCGUCGCCCAGCGGCGACCGCGCCAGCGCGCAGGCGAGACGACGGAGCGAACGGCGUGGGACUGGGUCCGCGCGGUCCCUCCAAAUCGGCGGUAUGCACUCGACCCGGACAAAAGGGGAAUAUUCCCCGUCUGGGUCGAACCCAACCCACUCCGUUCUGAACCAAACACGGGACGACGAGGGUUCGACCCAUUCCAACCCACCUCGACCUAGUAACCAAACACACGGUUAGAGAACCUGAGGAAUCAUGUCAGAACAACACUCUAGUCGUUCGAAUCCCGAAAGUGGCUAGGGCAGAUGAAGUGAGGAACUAAGAGCAACUCCAAGAGUAUCCUAAAAAAUUCUUCCCCAAAACUAUGUAUUGGGGAUUCUCCUAAAAAAAAUUUCCCCCAAAAACAUAUCAGUCCACAGCAGAUCGCUAAUAAAUAGCCCCCAAUAUUUCAAACACAGGCCACGUCAUCAUAUUGGGCCCAUCGGAAGGGACGCGCGGGCGUGCGGGAAUCAGGAUUGGGGGAGGAACGCCAACGCUAAAAUAUACACGGUGGCAGGCUGUUUUUUAGCGUCGCUAAAAAAUUGAGGAAGGUUUAGGUGGAUUGUUGGAGUUCAUUUUUUCUCUCUUUUUUCCUAAAAAAAAGUAUUGAGGGUAAGAUUAGCAGUCUCUUGCUCUAACUGGACCAAUUCCACCCGUAAUGUCAUCUCCAAAGAUCGUGUCGAAGGUGGCAGCGUAUAGCUCAAAGGGGUGUUGCCUCAGAUCAUUACAGAUAACGUCAUCAUGGCCUAUGAGUGCCCGCAUUUCAUGAAAAAAGAAGAAAGCGCGAGAUAUCAGAUGAAAAAGAAGAAAGAGCGAGAUCUCGGAUGUCGUGCUCUGAAACUGGAUGUGGGAAGGCUUUUACGAUCGCGUGGAUUGGGAUACCUACGCGCUAUCAUGGUUCCGUUGGGCUUGAUCAUGCGCUUGGUAAUUUUAUUUAACGGUGAACGGCUUGAACAAUCUCACUCGUCGAGGGGAUCCGUGAAGAUGAUGAUCCUAUCUCUCCUUAUUUUGUUCCUUUGGCAGCUUAAGAAAUCAAACCAUCGGGUAUUAAAGUGGCUCCGUCGGCUUCGGUGGUAAGCCGCCUUCUCUUCUGCGGAUGAUAGCAUGCUAUUCUUCAGAGCAAAUAGAGAGAGUGAUCAAUAUAUGCAUUCCCAAUUACCCUUAAUCAUUUCACCACCGGAGUAAAGUGUGUUAAGUGCUCAGUUGGAAACUUGUACAAAAUAAUCAAGCACUGGUAGAGGUCGAGAGCAGACUAAAAAGUUAAACCCCGUCCUUGUGUUUCAUCUUCUUUGUGUCCAGUGGAUUUCUUUCUGCCACUCUAAUCUCCAUUAUAACUUGCAAUUCUAUCGCACCACCCGCUGUUGUUUCUUUUCGGCGGUCAAUUGCCUAUAAAUAACUUUAAAGUACAAACAAAAAAAA
Molecule: long non-coding RNA, 76185 nt
Filed under: Setaria viridis
Lineage: Eukaryota; Viridiplantae; Streptophyta; Magnoliopsida; Poales; Poaceae
Description: long non-coding RNA (SVIR_LNC000994)
Source: RNAcentral